AAACUUUAACUAUGUUUACAUAGAAAAUAUAAAACAAAAUAUGAAUUAAUAGUAUUCCAAACAGAACAUUAUAAUCUUCAGAAGAAAUUGCUCUGAUUUUACAAAUAUUUUAUAAAAAAAGUAAAAUGAUAGUAAUGAUUUUGAUGUUAUAUUGGAUGUUAACACAACAAAAUCAUUAGUAUAAUUUAAACAAAAUCAUUAAUAUAAUUUUAAAAAUGUGAAUUAAUGGUAUUCCGAACAGAACAUUUUAAUCUUCGGAAGACUUUGCUUUGACUUUACAAAUAUUUCAUAAAAAUUACUAAUAGUAAUAAAACAUUUCAAAUCAAACACAAAAUUGAAAUAGCCCAUUUUUCUUAAAAUAAAGAUUACUAAUAGUAAUAAAACAUUUCAAAUCAACCACGAAAUUAAAAUAUUCUAUUUUCCGCGCGUAGCGCGGACAAAGACUCUAGUAAUAACAAAAGACAAAAUAAGAGGCCCAACAUUCAAAACGUAAAAAGAGCAAGCGUAAACCAAAAAAAAAUCACCUGCCACGUGUCUAAUUUUGCCCAUGCUAAAACGAUGAUGUGGAGGAAGGAGGAGAGAGACAACUAUCCUUUAUUGUAUAAGAUUCCAUGUUGUUUUUACUUCAAUCGUCAUUACUUCAAUCGUGACUAACGAUGCUUUAAUAUUCACGCAGAAGCAUAGCAGUGAAUAUUCUAGUAUACAUUGGCACAUUGCAAUCGAAGAAAAAGAAUGAGGAAUCUAAAUAUUUAAAUUACACGAAAAAGACAAAUCUCUUCACUUUUUCAAAUUGACGCUAUUUGAAACAGUUAUAUACAUAUAUAAAUAUAUAUAAGGAAAAUCGCAUUUUAAACUUUCGGAGUGUCACAUUCUCGUAUUUUAAACACUAAACGUUUUUCACUAGCACUUUAAACUUUGAAAGUGACAUUUUUAUCAUAACAAACCUAUAACAAACCUCCAAUGAAGUUUACUUGAUUACCAAGUCAACGAGUUGAUAUGUACUGUUCAUUUUGUGAUGACGCGUCGGUUUCUUUUUUUUUUCUUAAAAAAUAAAUAAAUAAAAUACAUAAAAAAUUCGAAAAAAUUGAUAUUUUGAAAAAUUCAAAAAAUAUAAAAAUAACAUUUCAAAAUUAAAAAUAAAAUAAAAUAUUUUAAAAAAAAUAAUCCAAUUAUACACCAAUAAAUAUAUAUAUAUAUAUAUAUAUAUAUAAUAUAAUAACUUGAAUGGUGAUACUAGAUUCUGUUUUUUGGUUUUUGAUUUUUUUUUUAAUUUUUGAGUUAUUAAUACUUAACUUAUUAAAUUUUUGUGAAACUAGAAAAUAUCUCAUAGACCACUUAAAAUGUUUUUGACCUUAACUAAAAUACUAUAAGUUAGUUUGAAAUAUAAUUAAGAGAUAGAGAGCUAUGCCUUUAGAUUUGUAUAUGUUAGGUUUUGGUAUGAGUGGAGCUUCUUAGAUAAGUAACAUAUAUUUUAGUUUCUCUAAAGUUUGAUUAGUUAUUUAAUUUCAAAGUUAUUUACUAUUUUAAGAACUUCACUUAUAAGUUAAUUUCUUUUUAAACAAACUUAAAAUUACUAAAUAAAUAUCAUUUUAAUAAAUAAUACAAAUAAUAGGAUUAUUUUGAAAAUUUAACAAGUUAAGUAUUAAUAAAUCAAAAAAAUUUAGAAAAAUCAAAAACCAAAAGCCAGAAUCUAGAAUCACCAUUCAAGUUAUUAUAUUAUAUAUACUUAUUGGUUUAUAAUUGGAUUAAUUUUUAAACAUAUUUAUUUUAUUUUUAAUUUUGAAAUGUUAUUUUUUAUAAUUUUUUGAAAUUUUAGAUUUUUUGAAUAUUUUUUCGUUUUUUCGAUUUUUCUAUUUUUUCGAUUUUUUUAUUUUUUUUAAUUUCUUUUUAAUUUUCUGUAUAUUUUAUUUUUUAUUUAAAAGAAAAAAAAAGCGACACGUCAUCACAAAAUGAACAGUACAUGUCACCUAGUUGAUUUGGAGGUUUGUUAUGAUAAAAAAAUGUCACUUUCAAAGUUAAAAAAAAGUGACACGUCAUCACAAAAUGAACAGUACAUGUCACCUAGUUGAUUUGGAGGUUUGUUAUGAUAAAAAAUGUCACUUUCAAAGUUAAAAAUGAUAGUCAAAAACGUUCAGUGUUUAAAGUGCGAGAAUGUGACAUUCUCAGGAUUUAAAAUGCGAUUUUCCCUAUAAAUAUAUUAGAGCAUGAUUAUUGGGGGUCUUUGCUCUUGGGUCUUUAAUACACAUAUAUUUGUAUGUAUAUAUUAUAUAUAAUAUAUACAUACAAAUAUAUGUGUAUUAAAGACCCAAGAGCAAAGAUCCCUAAUAAUCAUGCUCUAAGAAUCUCUCGGUUAAAUAACACAAUGGCCGGACCUUACGUAUCACAACAAGAAUAUAAAGAGAGUUAAGCAAAAAAACAUAUAUAUAUAUAUAUGCACAUGACAAUGUGUUUCAAAAAAAAAAAUGCACAUGACAAGAUGUAUAUUGACCAUCUUUGCAGAACUGUUCUUGUUCUACGGUUCUAGCUUAAAUAAGAACCAAAUAUAUAUUUUUUUGUUAUAUAGUUUUUCUGGAACUCAUCUGUUUUCAUAGUAUUUAACUAUUUAUAUAUGGUAGAUUCACAACACGUAAAAACGAAUUAGGAUCUGUAGCAUUAAAAACAUCUACUUUAAAUCAGUCAAACUAAUCUCGCAUUUCAGUAAUGAUUCAGAAAUACAUUUGGCAUAAUAUUAUCAACUUGUAACAAGUCAAACUAAUCACUAGUUAUAGUAUCUUAAACAAUGUUGUCACUUAUAGUAGGCGUUUACUCUCGUCCUUUUAUAUAUAAAAAACCACAGUUUGUAUAUUUAAUUUUCCAUCAUUCAAUUACCAUAUAGUCGUCUCUUUGGUGAUCAUCAUCUUCCUUCCUAACAGACUUUCUUUUUCUGUCUAGUACAUUUAAACACAAAUAGAUAUACGAUUAUUUAUCUUCCUUACUUCGGGGAAAAUAUGGAGAAAAUGUUGUGUCUUAUACAUGCCGGUCGAAUUGUUUUCGCGUUUGCGUUUAUAGUGUCUGCUUGGAGAGAGUAAACACUAAUCAAAAUAUAGAUCUAAAUGAUAUAUAUUGGUUUUUCUUUAAUCUAAUUGUUAAUAUUCAAUGUUUUUUCCUUAAGGUAUGAUGAUGAACGUGCUUGGUUGGUAUUUAACCUUAAUGGUGAAGAAGCUGCUGAGGAGUACAUAAUUCUUGGUAUAGUAAUGAAGGUAUUUGGAGUGAUAUGAUACCAAAUUGUUAAGUAUAUCACAUACGAGAAAUUAACAAAUCUAGUUUAUCUAAUUGUUUCAUUAUAUUGAUCAAAAUAUUUUUAGGCCAAGUACAUAAUUGGUCUUGGUAUAAUGAUGAAGUUAUACGGAGGGAUAUCUUUCCUCUCCAGCACUUACCCCGGCGCACUUAUCUUGGUAUAUCAAUUCACGUCAUUAUCUUAUUGUUAUGUUUAACCUUGAAAUAACAAACCAUAUGUACUAAUUACUAAACUCUUGCAUGUUGUUUGAUCUUAGCUCAUAUACCAAGCAAUAUUGAGCCCGGUUUUGUAUGAUCUCUACAAUCGAGGUUACAUACAAUUUCGACAAUCGUAUCAACAUUUUCUACAAAUCUCUCAUCGCAGUAAGAACCAUAUCCGCGGCUAGACCUGGUGUAUUUAAUGUAUUGAUAAUAUAUAAUUAUAACAAACCUGAAAUACAUGAUUAGCUUGUGGAGAACUCAGUUUAAGCAACGCAAGGCACCGGAAAUUUUGCGAUCAAAUAAGCGAGGUGACGAAUCUGACUAUAACAAUUAUCAUCUUACUAUCUUUUACAUAACUUUCUUUGUAAGUAACCCGAUCCGAGACUUAAGACUUUAAUAAUCAAUUUCUUUGUCGCUAGUUACUAUUAAGUAUUAACUAACUAGAUAUGAUUAUAUACAAGUAUAUAACACAAUAGAAAUGUAUGAUCAGUAUGUGAACGAGACGCUAUCGGUAGAUAAUGGAGCGUCCGUGGCCAUGUGCCACCACGAGUCCAUAGAUCAGGAACUUAUGAGCCAGAAAUUUUGCGAUCUAGUUAACGAGGUAAUCAAGUCUCAUUACUUUUAUUAUCACACUAUAGAUUACAUAAUCUUCUGGAUCACUUUUUUUUUGCAGAUUGAGAGACAGGCUAACUCGAAUCCUCUGUUCACACAGAGCAAAUUUAACACAUUUUUCAUGCCCUUCAUCAAGGUAUAUGUUAACUAGCAAUAAUUGUCGGUUAGCAUUAAGAUAACAAUAGUCCAGACAAUAAAGUAUCAGAAACUAAAACUGGUUGGAUAUUCUUGUAGGGUUUUGGAAUAAUAGCUGCGUUGGUGUUCUUCAUUACGAUGAAACAUAAGUAUGGGAUGCUCAAGAAGCACAAAACUAAUUGAGCCGAUAUAUGGCUUUUCAAUUGUGUUUUAAAUAACAAGGGAUCUCUUGUUUUUAAAGAAUUUUUGUCUUGUCAGAUCCUGAAUGAAAUGUUGUCCUACAACACUGCAUACAAUUCAAAUUAGACUUUUAUGAGUUACUUUAAUACAAAUCACACUUUGACCAGCAGAGAAUUGAGAAACUUAAUUAAGACUUUGACCUGUAUUUAACGAUUUGUAUAGCUUGCGGAUAAAGCAAUUACAAAUCGUUGUCGAGUUUGUUCGAUGACCCUUUAGAUUCAACCAGUGUUUUUAAAAUCGGACCAACGAACUGAAAUUUUUUUAGGUCAUAGGUCAUUGUGGUUCAACCUGGCUUCGAUUGAUUUAAACCGAAUUUAAUUAUAUUUUGUAAUAGUAUAUAUAUUCUUACAAAGAUAGAUCUUAAUAUCAAAUAAAAUGUUUCAAUAACCAUAAUGUUUAGAAUUUUUUUUUAAAAAAAUAAGAAAAUGAAAGUGUAAUAAAAUGAUAAAAUAAUUUAAUAGUUUAAAUAAAAAAUCAAUAAGAAAAAAGAAAUUGAAACUAAGUUCUGUGUUUGAAUUAGGUGAAAGUUGAAUUUCUGGAUCAUUUUUUUCCAUUUCUAAGUACAUUGCAAAAAAAUAACGAAGGUUAAACCACAAGUAAGAAAAAAAAGAGAUCAUGUAAACUAAGUUUUGACUUGCUCGUGGAAUGAGAAGCAAGAAUAAUUAAAUGUUCUGUUCUUUUAUAGAUUACACAAAUUUCAAAAAUGUAAAUGUUUCAGUUAUUAAUUUUUUUUAAUACUAGUGAUCAUAAAAUAAUAAUUAAACAAAGUGAAAAGUAGACAAAAACAUAUCUUGACGUGAAGAUUUAAGUUUGUGAAUCUUGUAACUUGUGAGUUGUAGAGACAUAAAAAAAACGAGAAGGCUUAAUUAAAAAAAACAAACAACCAUACUUUAUUAAUCUUUCUGAAGCCCUAUUUUUACUUUAGAAGAAAAAAAGUUAAUUGUUUUAUUAACAAAAAUUUAGUUUAUAUACGAACCAAAGUUUGACUGUUUCAUUAGGUUACCGGUUCCUUAGGUUUUAAUGGUUCAAUAUAGACUUUUAAUCGGUUCAGCCUUAAUUAGAUUUUAGCAUUACCCCAACCCAUUUUGGUAUCCGGUACGCGGUUAAAACCAUCGGUCCGGAUCGGGUUUAAAACACUGGAAUCAACAAUGAAUUGGUUAUGGACUCGUAGUAGUAGUAUAGUAGCAUUUCUCUCUUUAGUGGAUAUGAAUCAUAGACACAUUCUGAGUAACAAGUAAUAAACUAGUUAAAAAUAGUUCAACAUUAAAAAAAAACUGAAUUACUAUAAAUAAAUCAGCCAUAUAGCAUGAAAAAUUUGUCCCAUCUUCUCGUUUUGGAAUAAGGAUUAGAAAGUCCCAAACACACAGAUCUCUUGUAUAUUAAAGGGUUUUUAGUAAUUAAACUCAUCAACUAAAGAUGAAUCGUAAAAUAAACCUUCAACUAAAAAUCAUGUGAAAUAAACUCUCAACUUCAAUUUCGUUAACAUAUGUUAUCCUCCGUCUAAAAAACCGUGACGGAGGGUGACAUAUGUUAACGGUUUGUAAGUUGAGGGUUUAUAAUGUUGAAAACUUAGUUGAGGGGUUUUUUUUACGAUUGAAAAAUAGUUGAAGGUUUUUUUCACUAAAAGUCAUUAAAUUUUUAAAAUCUUUAUUAUCAUUUAUAUAUUGUUUUAGAUUGGUUUAUAAGUCUUUAAAACUAAUUUAUAAAUUUUAAUACAUUACUUUAUAACCGAUUUAUAAAGCUUCAUAAACAUUUUAAUACUUUUGCAUAUGAUUAAUACGGUUUCACAAUUAUUUUAUAAGUUUUUACAGAUUCUGCUACUUUUUAGGAUAAAAUAAUCUAACAUUAUUCGUGAUACUACUGAAACAUAUAUUGCAAUACAAUAGUAAUAUAUCAAAUAUAUUUCUAUUGAUCAAGAAAACAAACAAAAAUAUAAUGUAUUGGAAUAAAAAUAAUCAUGCAUUAUUUUUUGGGAUAGAGGGAAAGUAUGAGCCAGAUGAUGAAAAUCAUGAAAAUAAGAAAAAGUGUGUCCUAACUCUAAAUAGAAAGAUUGACUUUGUGGAUGAAUUAUCCUCCACAAUUUUUAAGACUUAUAUAACUUAGAAAAAUUAAAUUAUUUGAUAGUUGACAAUGACAAUAUAAACACACAAAUUUUCUUAUAUCACUAUUGCCAAAUAUCAAAUAAUUUAAUAUUUUGAAGUUAUAUUAAGCUGUAAGUAGUGUUUAAAAUUAUUAAUUUAGGAUGUAUAAAUUAAUUUUAUAAUAAAGUUAUGUAUUAAAAUUUAUAAAUUAGUUUUAAAGGCUUAUAAAUCAAACUAAAACAAUAUAUAAAUGAUAAUAAAGAUUUUUUAAAAAUUAAUGACUUUUAGUGAAAAAACCCCUCAACUAUUUCUGAAUCGUUAAAAAUUAAUGAUUUAUAAGUUUUUAACAUUAUAAACUCUCAACUUAUAAUCUGUUAAUGUAUGUCACCCUCCAUCACGGUUUUUUAGACGGAGGUUAACAUAUGUUAACGGAAUUAAAGUUGAGGGUUUAUUUUACAUGAUUUUUAGUUGGGGGUUUUAUUUACGAUUCAUUUUUAGUUGAGGAGUUUAAUUACUAAAAACCUUAUAUUAAAAGAUAAUCUAUACAACCUUUUAUCUAUGCCACAUGGCAUUGUUAUAAUGAUUUUAAAAUCACUAGAGAAUUAAUAACUUGGUCCAUAUAAAUAUAUACUAUAAUUUUUGUUAAACUAAUUAUAAAUUGAUUAUUAAUGUACAAAACGAUAUUUUCAUUCUUUUCCUAAAGAAAAUCUACAUAAUUACCUAAUAUUAUUAAAAUAUACAAUUUUGAAUAAUAAAGAUUUGGUGACAAUUUUUAUAUCGUUCUUAAUUUUUGUUUAAUUUAUAUUAUAAAAUAAACUAAAUUAUCAUGUUGACCACACAAUAAAAAUUUGGAUUUUUCGUAUAUGUUAUAUUUUGAAUUUUUAAAAACAACUUCAAAUUACUAAAAUUGUUAAAGUCUCACAUUUAAAAAUUAUGAUCAAUGAUUUAUAUUUUUUGUUAUAGCUAGAUAGAAAUGAUCAUAAAACUAUAUGAAUAUAAAUUCUCAUUUAAUAUUUAUAGUCAUAUUGAAAGUAUAUAUAUUUUAAAACUGUUUAAAUGAAAUUAUAUACCAUAUAAAAAUAGAUAUUUUAGUUCUUAAAUUUGUAUUGAACAAGUAUUGAGAACUUAAUAUUUUAAUUUUGUAAUUUACAUUUAAUUUUAAAUACAAUUAUAAAUUACUACAUAGAUUAAAAGACCACACUGAAAUUUUGUUUUCAGCAAUUUAAAAUUUUUUUUAUAAAAAAAAUAAAUGAUCAUAAAAUCAUAUGAAUACAAAGUCUUAUUUAAUAGACAACUAUAUUAAAAAUUUAUACUAUAUGUGUAUGUUACUAUCAUUUAAAUUUAACUACAUACCAUAAAAAAUAAGUAAAUAUGAUUAUGUGUAGUUAUUUAUCAUAAAAUUAUAAAUAAAAAAAUAAUUAUUUUGAUUUAUGUGUUCGUGCCAAUUCAAUUAUAUAUGUAAAAAUUACUUGUUUCUCAAGUAUUCAAUAUAUAUUUAUCAUUUUAUAAUAUGUAAAAUACAAAUAAAUAAUAGUGUACGUAAAAAAGAUUUGUAUAUUGAAUGUUCAUCCCGUACAAGGCCUAAAUUUUAACUCAGUAUACAUAUCAUAAACACACCACAAGAAUGCAAAGAAAUAAUCCUUUCUCAAAAAAAAGAGAGGAAAAUGCAAAGAAAUACGGUUUAAAAAAUUAAACUAAAAGUUUUUUAGAAAUAUCGAUCAUUUUUUGAAAGUUUUAUAUUUUUGUAAUUGUAAUUUUGAAAACGCAAUAAUGUAAAUAGUUUUCAAGUUGAUAACUAAUUUUAAAUAUAUUCAAAUUAACUUUAAACUAUAAUUAUUGUGUAAACUAUAAAUGGGUGAUUUUAAAUCUUUUUUUUUCUCAUUUAAAUUGUAAAAAUUCAUUAAUAAUUUUAGAACUAGCAAAAUAAUUUUUUGAUCUUCUAAUCUUUUCAUCAUAUUAGUUUGAUUAUGUUAAUAUAUUAUCCAAUUCUUAUUAUUUUAUCUUUGAAAUUUUUUAUGAAUUAUCUGAGUUUAUAAAAUAGAAAGUAGGUCUCUAUAACUUUUAUAUUAUUUUUUAAAAGAAAUCGUUUAUACUAUGUUUUCUAGAAUUUCUAACUCUAAAAUUCAAAUUACAAAUAUGAACUUGGAUAUGAAGUGGAAAUAUUCUGAAAUUAACCAACCAAACUUUAAAAAUGAAUUUGCCAAUGGAGAAAAAGCAAACUUCCAACAAUGCAAAAGUUCAAAGAUGUACUAAAAAAUACACAGAAAUUUGUCAAUCACUUUCACCAUCAGCUAUAUUAAACUAAUUAUAAGAAAUUUCCACUUUCCAAUAAACAAAACAUUAAACACAAAAAUGCGCAUUUGUUCUUCUUCGCCAUCCCUCUCUGUGCCCUUUCUGUGGAAAAAAGAAAACUCAGAAAAAGUCUUUAAUUCUACUCCUCUGAUCCUUCAAUUGCGUAUCCUUAAACCCAUUAAACAAAAAAACUCUUUUGUUUCCUCACCGGUAAAACCGUCUGAUCUUUCCAGAAUCUUGUUUUUUUUUCUUUUUCUGGCGGCAAGGUUCUGAUUUUCUUUUUUUUUUUGUCGGAGAAGUAAACAAAUACUAUAUUUUGACGAUUUGGGUUUGUCUUGAUUUGGGUUGUUUGAGCCUUGGAAGAGGGAAAUGAUAGAUAUCCCUGGAACACCAGGGACUUUGACCGGUCUUGUCUUGAGAAUUUGUCAGUGCGUUUUUGCUGCUGCCUCCAUUUCUUACAUGGUUACCUCCGGUGGAUUCUUCAGCUACACUUCUUUCUGGUAAUCAACACUCUCUGUCUCUUACCUGAUCAAUCUUGUUAUUGAAAUCGAGGGAAGGUUUUUUAUAGAUCCAAUCUUCUUAGAAAAUUGCUUUUAGAAUCUUUAACUAGUUUAGACCUCUGGACUCUGCUCAGUACCGUGAAGAUCUCUGCUUUUUAUGUAACUAGUUUUGACAUGGAAGACGAUCUUGUUCUAGAGUCUAGACAGUUAUUGAUAUUGGUUUCUCUCCAGGUUUAAAACAUCAAGAAGCUAGGUGCUUUUUUGUAUUUUCUGUUUCUGAUGUAGAGGAAAAAGAUUUGAACUUUUAGCUUAUUUUCUUCUUACCCCUAGAGAUAUGGUUUUCAGCUACCUAAUUGCAGCAAUGGGUUUGCAAGUCAUAUGGAGUUUCGGCCUUGCGAUACUAGACACAUUUGCUUUAGCAAGAAAGAAAACGCUUGUUAGCCCGGUUUUGAUCAGCCUCUUUGUAGUUGGAGACUGGGUAAGUCCCUCUCUUUCUCUACCAAAUGGCCCAAGAAAGCAUCAAAACUUUAAAAUCAUCUUUGUUUGUGUGUGUUUUAGGUAACAGCAACAUUGUCUCUAGCAGGAGCCUCGUCCUCAGCGGGGAUAACGGUUUUAUACUUUGGGGAUUUAGGAAAAUGCAGUUUUGAAGCAGAGUGUUGGAGGUAUCAACUCUCUGUUGCUUUAGCUUUCCUUUCUUGGAUCACCAUCGCCAUUUCUUCACUUACCACUCUUUGGUUACUUGCUUCUGGAUAGUACCCCAACCAAGUUCAUCACUCUCUUGUACAAGUUCCAUAUAUAUACUGUUAGACAAACUCAUUUUUGAUUCUUUAUUUUGUUAAUACAAACGAUUACAUCAUUUUUUUUCUUAACUCUUCAAUGUAUACUCAAUUUAAAGUAAAAGUUUUGAUGUUAUAAACGUUUACUGUUUAUUUAUAUUAACAGAUUUUUGAACUGAGCUUGAGUGUCAUUUUUUCUGUAAAUUCCAAUUGUGGAUAGUGUUUGGAUCAGAACUAAAUCGGGGAAUUGCUCCCUAUAUACAUAAAAACACAAAUUCACUAUCUAACCAAAAACAUAUAUUUUUUUCUCCUCAUUUCUUUUUGUAUCUCUCUAACUUCUCGCUAAAAUCUAAUUACCUUUUUUUGGUUAUCUGGCAAAUAUUUGGCAAAUAAACCCAACUAAAUAUGAUAAACAAACAAAUAAGUUGGUUGGUUUGCCUUGCUUUGAAGCUAAAAGAUGACCAAGAUACAACGGCUGGGAAUAAAAUGGUUUAGUUUAAAUCUGAGUGGCAAAGAUGCUAAUAGUAAUACUAUGACCCACUUUGAGUCUUUGAGCACUAUCUUUGUACUAUUUUUGUGUCUUUUUUACUCCACCCCUUGCAUUUCCAGACUCCUCUACAUUUUGUAUGAUACAUUUUUGAUUUAUCUAUUUCCACCUCUCUAUUAUUUAAUCAAGAGACCAGGAGAAAAUUCACAAGUUUCUCAGACAAUUUAUUCAAAAAAAUAGGUUACUGCAAAAGUAAUAACAAAGAAUCAUCUGAAGGAAACAAAACUCCAAAAGUGAUUGAGAAAGGAAGCUUAAGCAGCUUUAGAGCAAUUCUCUUGAUCUUGAGAAGUAUCACGCUGCGAAGGCGGUAGUAAGUAUGGCAUCAUUGGGAUGUUUGGAUAGUAACCAUAACUUCCGUAAACGGCCAUUUUAUUCUGAUGGAAAGCUGCUGGCAUGAAACCAGGAGAUGGAACCGCCGCCAUUGAUCUCAUCUGUUGCUCCAUCUUCUCUUUAUCUGACUUCAACACCAUCUUCUCUUCCCUUAGCUCAUUCUUCUCCGCCUGAUGUAAACCAUUUAAAAACUGAAUAAGUCUCUUACAGUUUCAUGAGCCUUUAGGACAAAAGUGGGAAACCAACCUUGAGACUCUUGAUCUCUUCUAGAAGCUUCUGGUUGGUUUCUUUAAGCUCAUGAGCUUCACCUCUGAGAUGAUUCACUACCCUGAUUGCAUCGUCGAGAAUUACUGGUUUGUCAGUCUUUGGAGUCCUUGUAGGCUCCAAAACCGAGCUCAAAUCCAUGAACCUGAAACAAUAUACCAAGUGAAUAAAACAUCUAAAACACAUAUGUAUUAGGGCAAAAGAUGUAAACAUACUUGUCGUUUAGCAACUCCCUUCUUUUUUUCUCACGACAGGCUUUGGUUCCUGGCUUCCUACAUGGUCCAGUUCGUCCCCUGUGUUUCAGACAACGGAUACUAAACAAUAAAGAUCACAUUCAGUGUCAAGCCAAGAAAUAAAGCUUAAACGGUUACCUCUUUCUAGAGCAUUCUUCCUCAAACUCUUCCUUAACAAUUUCAACAGAUGAUGAAGAAUUGAUCUCCACAACGGGGCAACACGCUUGUCCCUGCUGUACAUGAGUGGCUGUCCCUCUAAAGCUACAGACUUGAUGUGUCCCCAUAUCAAGUUGUGAUGAUCCACCAAAAGGUCCUAAACCGUUGCUAUCAAGGUUUCCACUAAAGGCAUCAAACUGAUCACCAAUGUUAUUACAUACUUGUUCUUCCUCUGGAAGCAAAUUCACAUCAAACUCAGGAAAGAGGUUUUCCUGAUCUGUCUGCAUAAACCCGUAAGGAUCUUCUCCUCCAUUGCUACAGAAUCAAGAAACAACCAAAGAAUAAUCAUAAUUUUGAAGGCAGAAGAAACAUGAAGGAGAUUGAAUAGAGGAUAAAAAAUAGUUAAAGGAACCUUUGAUCGAAGCAAAGGGAAGCGAGAAGAUCGUCGUCCUCUUCGUUUGAUUGAUACAUCAUUAGAGAUUGAAUGCAGAAUUUGAGAGUCUGUCAGGAGAGAGAUACGCACAACAAAGCACUGUGUGUGUAGAGAGAAAUAUAAAUGAGAAAUAUAGAUGUCCGAGUGACGUCAAUAUUCGGAUUUUGUUAUCAGAAAAAUGGUAAAAUUAGUUGGAGGGAAUUUCGGAUAUUUUCAUAGCACAAAUCGUAUCCUUGCGAAAAAAAAAAACAGAUCGAAUUUUAAAAAAUACUUUGGUUUAUAUGAGAAGACAACAAAGUCAGAAAUAAGAAUCAAGUUUUAUUAAAGGCUCAUUUAGGUGAAUAUACAAAAUAUAUAUGGUAAUUAGGUAUUCAUGCAGAUUUCAAAAGUAUUUGCAAAUGUGGAUAUUUGUUGAGGGUGUAGUGACCAUUUUAUCCAGUUACAAAGAAAUGAAACGAUUAAACAAAUCAUGAUUUGGAUAUAUCACCAUAAGAAAAAUCCCAGAAAACAAAUGAAAACAAAUGAGCUCAUCAUCAUCAUCACAAAAAAUAAACACCAUUACAAACGCAUAACUCAAACUAAUCAAACAAGGGAAACAAAAACAUAAAUACCAGAAAAAAAAAUCGAGGACAAUAAGAUGGAUCAUCACGCAACUUCCGUUCAUCUUCUCCGCACAAGCACAGUCAGUUAUUAAUCUGUUCAAGAGAAACAAACAGAGCCAGUGGAAAUCUGAUAUGGUUCCCUAUAACAAACAGAGAUUCAUACCAUUUAAAAAAUCAAAAAAAAAUAAUAAUUGGAAUAAAAAUACUAGAAUGAAAAAGAUCAAAGAAGAUGCUUUAUAACAAAAAAAAAAAGAGAUCUUCUCCGCCGGCAAAGAUCAUAUCGGGAAAAACAGUUUCUUCAUUUACCGACCAGAUCUUUAGGUAAGUCAAAAAUUUGUGAAGACAACUUCAGGUAAGUCACCGAUUUGAGAAAAUAAUAUAUCACCUCUGAGAACAGAGUUGCUUCUAGAUAUGAAUAGAGGCUGAAGAAAGAGAAAUAGAAAUAGGAAGUGGUGAUGAAUUUAGUUUUAUCUGUUUUUUUGCGUAGAAAGGUUUCUUCAAAAUUUUAAAACUUCAUUAUUAAUACAGAAGCGUGUUGUUGGCAUGGACAAGAAAGGAGUUGUGUCAGUUGUAGGUCCAUCUGUGUGUCACAUUGAAUAAGGUUAAUGUUGGUAUUAUUGAAAAAUCAACAGUUGCAUGUCCGUUUACCUAAUAUCAAUUCAUAAUUUGUCUAUCUACUGCAAAUUCCCUUUAUUUUAUUUUAUUAAAUUAAGAUAUAUAAAAUAUACGGGGCUUUUGUAAAGCCACGCAUUAACCAAAGGCUGGGUCGGGACGUAAGAGAAUCGUUCAGUGUGGACUGCUUUUUUAAAUAAAGGUCUAUGUAGUCUAUGUUGGUUCGAUCUUAUUUUCUUAGAUUACUUGAGUUUUGUGUUUUUAUUUUGUUAAUUGGGUUUAUAAAUUUAAUUUUUAUCGAAAUGAAUGUAUUGGUUUAGUAAAGUUUGUUUCAGCAUGUAUAUAUAUAUAUAUAUAUAUAUAAACAUUUCUAAUGUAAAACUCCAUUUUAAAAAAAAAUAGAAUAACUCCAUAAUUGAAUUGGAUUUUGUUUAAUUUUAAUUCAUUUCGGAGUGGAAAUAGAACAGUGGAUAAAUAAGAAAUAUAUUAUUUCAUUUAUAGACUAAAUCUAUUUUUAUUCCCUUUUGGAAUAAAACCAUAAUGAGAUUGAAAAUGUUCUAAGCUAAAAAAACAAAAUAAUGUUAGUUUAUCUAAUAAAUCGGUGCGUACACGACCCCGACAGGCACUGGUGUCUGAACCCAGCACUACUGAACUAAAGAUAAAGAAAGAAACAUAGAAGAUCAAAGCUCCAAGGAAACUAAAGCACUUCAUCUGGCAAACUAUCUCUGGAUACAUCGCUACGGCGCAUAAUUUAUGAGACCGGCAUUGUGCGCAAGAGAGUACUUGUGUUCGUUGCGGUGCGGAGUCUGAAACCAUUAAUCACACUCUGUUCGAAUGCCCGCCUGCCUUGCAGUGUUGGGCACUGUCACAGAUCCCUGCAGCUCUGGGGUAUUCCCGCAACAAUCUCCUAUGGAGGGAAAAGAAGUAAGGCGCAAAUGAAGAAAUGAUGAAAGUCUUCCCAUGGAUAAUGUGGCACAUAUGGAAAGCGCGCAACGAAAAGUUGUUCAAUAACAAGGACAUUACACCAUUGGACACUCUUCAACUUGCCAUGAGAGAAGCUGAAAGCUGGACCAUUGCUCAACUAGUCCGAGAGAUGGAAGACACAGUGCUGAACAACGUUCUAGAGGAAGGAUCAGCUGAGAACCAAACUCCGACUCCACCAAGAUGGAGAUCUCAAGUAGAUGCAUCGUGGGCAAGAGAUCGAGAGGACACUGGUGUUGGAUUUGUGAUAAUGGAUGAAGGAAUGAUGAUCCAGUAUGGGGUAAAGAGAACACACAGAACUGAGUCUCCUUUACACGCGGAGGCUGAAAGGCUCAUAUGGGCACUGCAGGAAACGCUUAAAAGAGGUUCCAUGAUAAUGCAAUUUGAAUCCGAUUGCCAACAACUUGUGAACCUGAUCCAAAUAGAUGAAGAGGAGUGGCCGGCUUUGGCAACAGAACCAGACGAAAUCAAAGCUCUGAAAAGUAACUUCACCACCUUCUCCAUUGCGUAUCUGUCACGGUCUUUGAACAUCUGUGUGGAUGGCUUAGCAAAAGGAGCCCGCACACGUGAUCUUUGGUUACCUUACGUAAAUGGUUGUGCUCCAAAGUGGUUAGCCUUUGUUGCUAUCCAAAUGGAAACAACCUAAGCUUUAGCUUUUAUAUUUUCGAUGUCAAAAAAAAAAAAUCUAAUAAAUCGGUGUAGUAUACACAAUUAUUUUCUUCUGACAAUACGAAAACACCACGUUUUUGAAUGAUUUGUGUACUUUUGUGGAAAUGAUGCAUGUGGAGUUAUUAAAAUGUUAAUUUCGUUUAUGAUCAUUUCAAUGCGGUCAACGUUUCAAUGAUUAGCAAUGUCCAUAGAAGAAGACUAAACUAAAUGUCUUCAUUUGUCUAAAGUCGAACGUUGAAAGAGUGGCCACUUGGCAAGGAACAAAAAUCUCUUGGUGAAAGCAAGAACAAAACACACAAAGUGGGAAAACGACCAAUCAAAUAAAAAAAAGAUAGACAAGUGAAACAGUGUGAUCAUCGUUGAUGAAAAGUGGUAGAAUAAACGAAUUAUUCAUGUUUCUUCUGAGUUUUUUGACACUUGGAAGUUUGGAAACAAAACGUUCGUUGGCGUUUUCAAACGCCGCAUCUUCAAAUUUCCUAGCCCUACAAUCUUAUAUAUAAAAGAAAAAAUGAGCAUUUUCAUAUAUAUAUGAGGUGUAUUGAAUCUAAAAUUUGAAAUGAUUUGAUUUUUAGUGAGUUGAUGAUUGUAGGUGACUUUAAGAAUUUGUUGUGAUUUUUGUUAAACAAUUAUAAAAUCUCUUAUAAUAUUAUGAGAUUUGAAAUUUUAUUUUUAUAACUAAAAAUACCUCUGACACACUCUAAGAACAUUUAGAGGGAUGUAUUGAAUCUGAAAUUUGAAGUGAAUUGAUUUUAUUGAGUUUUAGAUGGUUUUAGGUGAAUAUUAGAAUUUUUUUGUGUGAUUUUUGUUAAACAACUCUAGAAUAUCAUCUAAAACUAUGAGAUUUGGAUUUUUAUUUUUAUAACAAAGAAACUCUUUUCAAACACCCUAAAAUUUUUUAAAGCACUCUAAAAUCUUCGACUUAAAUUUUGUUUAAUAACAGUAGAUUUCAAAGUGUUUUAUAUAAUGACAAGUUCAAUAACACUGGAUUUUAAAAUGUUUUUUACAAUCCUCGUUUAAAUAAUAGUAGAUUUGUCAUUUUCAUACAUCAUCUGAAACUUUUAACUAAAUACACCCUCUUUAAAGAACUCUAGAAUCUCCAACUUAAAUUUCGUUCAAUAACAGUGAAUUUCAGAAUAUUUUAUGAAAUAAUAAGUUCAAUAACAUGGAGUUUUAAAGUGUUGUUAAAUAAUAAGUUUUAAAGUGUUGUUAGAUUUAAUAUUAUAUUACGUGACUUUACUUUAUUCUCAAUAAUAUACAAAAUUUUCAACAACUCUUUCCAAAUUAACAAAUCUUUCAAUUUAUAAAAUCAACAAACUCUAUAGAAAUCUAAGUCCCACUAUACCAUCUUAAAUAUAUCAUGGAUUGAUAUAGUUCUUAAGUAAUUAAAAUAUACUUUGUUUUAAAUCCUAUUCAAUAUCACCAUCUAAUUUGAAAAGAUAGUGACAUUUUCGUGGGCCUUUUGUGUCGACACUUCAUAUCCAGUAACAAACUCUAUUUUUCAAUAAAGAGGCGUGUUUAAGCACUUAAUUUGACUUCCGUUUGAUUUCAAAAUUUUGGCUUUUGAUUUACAUCGAUCAUGAGUCUUUGAUAAUUCAUAUUACUAGGUGGACCGCCCGCACGCAUGUGCAGACAUUAACAUUAAUAUUAAAUUGAUAUUAUAUUUACAACUAUAUAAUACUUAUGUUACAUGUAUAUGGUUAAUAUGAAAAAUUCGAUGUUACAUAUUGAUAUUUAUAUUAUGUUCAUAUGAACAAAAAAUACAUUAGAACGUUUAGAAAACGAUCACAUUUAACACUAAUCUUAAAACAUCAGAAAAAUAUAACUUAGAAAAAACAAAUAUUUCAUGCAUAACCCCAAUAAAAAAAAACCAGCCAUGAAAUAUAAAAGAGAGAUUUGAAUUACCUGAGAUUUAUUAUCAUUGAUUUCAUUGUAACAGCAGAGAUGAUUUACGGUUUCCUUCUCUAAGCCUUGAGUCAGAAAAGAGGUAAUUAAAACAAAAAUAUUUAAAGAUGUAAACAAUCCCCAAAAGAUAGCAAAAAUAUUAUAUAAUUGAUAGGACAACGUCAAUGAGUUUCAAAGUUUUUAAAAAGCUUUGAGAUUACCUUUGGCUCUCAGACGUACCGAAGAGGAUCACGCACAAUAAAUAAAUUGCACUUGAUUAGCAUACAUAUCUUAUAUUAUAUUCUUGAUAAGUGAUUUAACUUUACAAAAAAAAAAGAAUUAUCUUUUUUUCGAAAGGGAUGAUCAGUUCCUGGAUAAACAGAGUCGUCUCUUUUAGUUAGUUGAAUUACUACUGAUGCAAAAAUAUAGAUAGAAAUACAACAUGGAGAGGAAGAGAACAAAAAUAAACGGAGAAGAAGAAUCCCACAUAAAAUUAACAGUAAUGGUGUUUCCGUCUAUGAGUUACUUAUUGAUUAUCAUACCAAAAGAUAGCAAAAAUAUUAUAUAAUUGAUAGGACAACGUCAAUGAGUUUCAAAGUUUUUAAAAAGCUUUGAGAUUACCUUUGGCUCUCAGACGUACCGAAGAGGAUCACGCACAAUAAAUAAAUUGCACUUGAUUAGCAUACAUAUCUUAUAUUAUAUUCUUGAUAAGUGAUUUAACUUUACAAAAAAAAAAGAAUUAUCUUUUUUUCGAAAGGGAUGAUCAGUUCCUGGAUAAACAGAGUCGUCUCUUUUAGUUAGUUGAAUUACUACUGAUGCAAAAAUAUAGAUAGAAAUACAACAUGGAGAGGAAGAGAACAAAAAUAAACGGAGAAGAAGAAUCCCACAUAAAAUUAACAGUAAUGGUGUUUCCGUCUAUGAGUUACUUAUUGAUUAUCAUACACCUGCGCAAGAUCACAAAAGUAGAAUUUAAAUUAUAACGAUCAAAAACAUAUGAAAACUUAAAAGAUAGAUGCGUGAAACUAAUAAGGGUGGCGUGAUAUUUAUAGAGCAAAUUAGUUUAAGUUUUAAAUGACCUAGUUUUCAAGAGAAGCUAUGAGAUAUAAUAUCUUCUAAUAAAUUUUAAUUCAGCUAUGAGAUAUAAUAUCUUCUAAUAAAUUUUUAACGAUAUUAUGGUUAUAAUAUAUACAUAAUUUUGGUAAAUCAAAUCUUGCUAUAUAUAUAUUUAAUAUUAAAUGCAUGAUAUUAGGAAAGAAUAUAUCUCGUCAGUUGAUUGCAACUGGUUUUUGAUAAAACAAAUCCACUAUAAGGAUUUAAAUAAUAGAUAAUAAGGAAAAAUACGGAAUUUUAACGUUAAAACUCCCCAACUAAGUUUGUUUUGGGUAAAAAUCCUCAAACUAAGUAUUUAAUGAAAAUCCCCCUAAACUAACUUUAUUUAAUGAAUUAAACUCUGAUAGGUCAUAAUUACUAUUACUACCAGUAAAUCUUUAGUUUAGGAGUUUCUACACUAAGUAAACAUAGUUAAGGAAUUUUACCAUUAAAAUGAAAAAAAUUCAAAAUAUUGUAAUAGGAAGAUAAAUUUUCAAAAUAUAUUUGAUAAAUUAACGUAUAAGUUUCUAUAAAAGACUUAGAACCUCUUAUAAUAAUUUAAAACGUCUGAUUUUUAUAAAUGUAUUUAUAAUUUUAUAAAUGAUUUAUAAAGCAUGCAUUAAAUUAUUAGACAUUAAUAGUUAUUAUGAUACUUUAUAUACAAAUAUAAUUAUUUCUAUACGAAUAUAAAACCAUUAUAUCAAUUCAAAUAAACACUUUUGUUUAUUAUUUUAUGUAAUUUAUAAAUAUAUAAAAAAAUUGAUCGCAUUAUUACUCUUUCAUAGUUUCAACAAUUAGUUACCAUAAAUAAUUAUUUCUAAUAUUAUGUAGAAUAUUUGGAAAGUGGUAAUUUAAUUAUACUUUCUUUUUAGAUAUAAUUAUAAUAAAUAAAAUUAAAAAUUACCGGUCAAUCAAAUUAUAACAAUUUGAAGAGUUCAUCUAUGAUCAACACGUAAUUAAAACAAAUCACUUAUGUGACUUCUCAAUCAAUAUAUAGUAGGAUUUAUAUUUUUAUAAAUAAUUAAUAACAUUAUAUAAAUAAUUUUAAAAUUGUGAUAAAUUUUUUUUUAUAAACAACGAUAAAUAAUUUAAAAAUCAUAUUAAUAAACAUGUUUGGAUUUUGUAAUAUUUAAAAUAGUUAUUAUAUAAUUAUAUUCUAAUACAAUUCAUCAAGUAGAGUAUAAAACUAUUAUAAUUAUCUUAUAUAAAAAUUCGUUCAUUAUAUUUUAUAGUUUAUAAAUAUUAAAAGUAAUAAAUAUAACAUUAUUAAUCUUUCUAUAAUUUCGAGAUUUAGUUGUCAUAAAUUGUUAUUUGUAAUAUUCUUUAGAUUAUAUGGCAAGUGAUGUUAAAUGUUUUUAGACUUACCUUAAAUUUUUCAAUCUAAUUUAAAUAAAUAAAAAUUAAAAACAAUCGACCAAUCAAAUUAUAAUAAUUUUUUUGAAACUUCACUUAUGAGCGACACGUCACGAGACUUCACUAAAGUGACUUCUCUUUUAAUAUAUAAGGAGAUAUUUUUGAAAUAACAAAAUUAAAAAACUGAAAAAUAAUAGUAAUUGCCAAUAUAUAUAUAUAUAUUUUUAACAUUGUUAACGAUGCCAACAACAUCUUAAAUCCUGACAGCGUUACAAACCCAACAAUAAAUUUAACGUUUGUAAUGGCAGAUGAUUGUGGAAGAAGUAAUAUUUUUGUACAUAUUUAUCUUUUAACAUUAUUAUUUUCUACUAAUAUAAUCAUACCAAAAACAUAUAAGUUUGAUCAAAUACUUCUACAAUAUGAAAUUUUUAAUGUUUUUAAUCAUUACAAAAUAUUUUUAAACCGAUAGCUUUUUUUAUUACCAAACAAAAUUUAAUCACAUGAUUUUUAUUAACAUAUUACUAAUGGAUUACCGAAAAAGUGCUCUCCGGCUGAAAAAUGAGAAAACCAAAGGCGGCUAAUUGAAAAUAGAUUAGGGUUAUCACUAAAAAAAAUAGAAAAACUAAAUACAAAUAGUAGAUGACAAAAAAAAAAAAUAGUGGAUGAAAAAAAUCUAAAGAUCCACCCGUCUAUCACCGGACUGGAACAAUGAUAACGACUAGUUCUACUCUUAUUCGCUCUACCCCAGCGCCAAAACACAGAUCCAAUUCGCCACACAAUUUUGCUUCUUCAAUCCCACUGGUGUUAACACCAACAAUAAAAAAUAAAGAUGAAUAGUUCAUCGAUCGUCUGGUAGAUAUUCAAAGUAUAUUGAUAUGUUUGAAGAAGUUUGUAGGAACAACAAUAAAGAGCAAAUGAUGCAUUAGUUCUUCGCAGAAAAUCUAAUCUAUUAAAAUAUAAUCCUACUUUUAUCUACGGAUAAAAGUUUGUCAUUUAAGUUUGGACCAUUUCCAGAGAGUUACAGAUAUUAAAUACACUCUACAUAUUAAUUUUACCGCAUUAUUUAAAUCAGACCACCACCGGUUAAUUUAACAAAACAAUUGUUCUAAUUCUAAAAUAAAUUAAAACUAUACCGUUGGUUAUUUAUGGUUAUAAGAACAAUACAAAACAAAACUCUAUCUACAUACUACAUCUUACGUACAGAGUCUGCUUGGACAUCAAGAUUGUCUAAGCGACCAUUUUUGAUUCACUUCAGUUCAUUAUUUGCACCAUAACAAAUCAUACCGUGUUAACUUAUUUUCAGAUUAUUAACUGCAACUUAUCAAAUUCAAAUUUAUUCAUAUAUUGUCAAUUUUGAUCUGACUGAACAUGCAAGGAGGUUAAAACUUUUGGAUGAUAUCUAUUGUAAAUACGAAGAACAUUUCUAUUUGUAUCUGCAACAUGGCAAACGAUCUGAUCACUUUCUGAUAUUUUAAACUUUCAGAAACCUGCAAUUAUGAACACAAUGUUAUCAUCCCAUUAUCAAUGUCAACCAUAUUCUCUUUAAUCAUAUAUAGAUUAGAAACGCUUCUAACCAUUAAAGUUAUAUAAGGUUUGUCUUUUGAUUAUCAUACGUAGACCGGUAGACAUAGAAUUCAUACACGUAUAUUUGGAGAUAUUAAUAUGUUCGUACGUAUAUAUGAGAUUUUAAAUUUAAUAGAUUACAUAUGUAUUUCUAAUUAUUUUAUAUCAAUACAAUACUAAAAGGAGAAUAUCCUCUCCUCUAAAGCUAUCCACGUCAUCUAAUUAAAUCAUCCAAUAAGGAUCAUUUUUUCUGCCACGUCUGCUAUGUUUCGGCUCAUCCCGUAGCCCAAAUUAAACUUCACAUCGAAAUCAACUUCGACUGUGAUUCAUCUUCCUCGAUUCCCAGCCGUUUUUUUUCUUCAAGUUUUCAUUCUUCAACGCCUCCUACCUAAUCAGGGUGUGGAAGAGCAGUCUCUUCUCUUCAUCUCUUCGUCUCUCUUUUUUUUUUAUUCAAACAUCUCUUCGUCUCUAUCUCUUCCUCCAGGUCUCUCUCUCUCUAUGUCUCUAUCCCGAUGAUGAAUCAACAAGGCCAUCCCGAACCUGAUUCCGAACCUCCUCCGACGAUACCUUAGAGUCGGUGGGUGUUGAGAUGAGGAAUGGUGAAGAAACUAAAUGUGUUUUUCCCUUGACGAGUCUCCUUUGCGGUUUGGUGGGUUGAUUGAAAAGUUAAGGUCUUUUGAUCCUGUUUCGUGUUCUAGUUCUCUGUAGUUAAGGUUCUUUACUGAGAAAAUGUUUUGGGUGAUGCAGAUCUUUGAUAGUUUUCAGAGAAGUAUCAACUUUUAUUGAAUUGUCGCUCAUCUUCUCUUUAAUUAUCAAUAGGGUGACACAAAGGGAUCAGCAAAAGGUGGAGAUGCAAAUUUAAAGAAAGAUGGUCAAUCAAGCCAAAAUGGCCAGGUACAGACACCUGGUCUUUCAUAUACUCGAGUUCCUUCAAAAGCAUCAGCUUUACCCUGAUGAGCAGGUCCUCAAGUUCAAGAUCGAGCUUCUGAACAAGACCAACAAGAGUCUCCACCACACAGAAGACGCUCCCCAAGGUAUAAUAAUGUCUCUGAAAGUUUGCCUCUUUCGUCUUUGUUGGUUGGUUGAUGAUGAAUGUUUCUGGUGAUAGAUAUGGAGGAAGGGCUGCACCGCUCGUUUAUAAUAAUUAUGGAGAAUAUUCGAAGAAUAUAUAUCAUCAAAUUUAGAAGAACGUGGCUUGCAAACUAAAUAGAUUUUUCUUCAAUAAUCAUUUGGCAGAAUAUUCUAACAACGUUAGUAAUAUAUUUGAUCAAAUCUAGCCUAGCGUUUCUCGCAAGCAAAAAAAACAUCUAACAACUUGAUUCAGUUAAUAUAUCUUCCUUAUUCUUUUUAUACGAGGGUGAGGAAGAAGACUAGAAGAUCUAUACACUCUUGUAUUGGUUUCUUCUUGCUCGUUGUUGUUGCUCAAUACAAUUUAUAUUUCUUUUUUCACAGAUCUUAUCUAGUUUUGGUUGAAGUUAAACUCUUGUUUUCAGACAAUUAUUUGAGAAAAAAUAUCGUACGAUUCCUGAAUCUUUUAAUGGGGAUUAAAUAAUUAUUCAGAUUGAUUAACUGGAUAGUGGUUUAUUAAACGUUUUCGAGCAAUGUUUUAAUGUUACAAUCCCAAAAUUAGAGUUACGUUAUUUUCUUAAUUUAUGGCUUAGAGGCCCAUAACGUACCGGCCCAUUAGCCCAACACUCAUAACAGGGAAUCGGCUCAUUCGUUAAGAUAUUUAUUGCGAGUAUCAAUUUCUGUUUCCAUCAGGAAAAGAAUAGGGCCAUAAAAUCCUUUUCCUGCUUAAAAUAAGAAUUUGAAUUAUAUUUUUAUAUUAAAAAAAUCAUUUUCCUAAAAUUUUUGCUCUCUCUCUAGACAGAUUAGGAGAUUGGAGAUUUGUGUAUAUAAACCUGAACAUAAAAUACAAUUUUUAUCAUUAGUUUAAUUCUCGCUGAGUAUCAAAAGUAAGAUGGUGAACACACAAGUUGGGGGAGCAAGCAUGAGGCCUGUUCGUUUCUCUAACGCAGCAUCACGGCGGCAACCAAUAAUUAACAAACAGGUUAGAGAAAUUUUAACAGUGUGUUGUUGUAUAGUUGCCGCCGGCGACUUCCAUUGUUCCUCUUUUCUGUAAUUCUAUUGCCGCUGCAAAUAACAGCAUCUCCCACCUCAUACGAGAAGUGCGCAGCUUCCAAUGAUUGCCUUUUCUAACUCUCUAAUUUAAUUGGUUGCUGAGCUGUCAUUAAAAUUUCUUUACAUUUUUGAUCGUUCGUGGUUGACGCAGCGCGUUCUUGAAACGAACAGCACUCGGUUUCUUCUGCUACAAGAAACAAAGGAGUAAUUAGUCUCGUGCACUUAAGGGAAAAAAAGGCUCCAGGUACCGAGUUAGCCCUCUCCAUAAACCCUGAUAUAUGGGAAAUCAAGAAACAUCUCACAGUGAGCGACAUGAGAAACAACCAAACACGCCUUAUGCUACCUAAGGAUGAUGUGGUUGCGCAUAUUCUGGACUACCUAACGGAUGAAGAGCGCCUAAUGAUCGAAGAUGCAAAUAAUCGAGGGUUGAGGAUCAGAGUGUACGACAGCGAUACUGAGUCUUUGCAUCAGCUGACUUUGAAAAAGUGGCAUUCAAGUGGAAGCUAUGUGUUCAUUAGCAAUUGGAAUGAGCAAUUUGUUAUAAGAAGAAACCUCGAAGCUGGCGAUUUAAUUGGACUCUUUUGGAAUACUUAUGCGUCAAGGCUCCACUUUCGUGUGAUUAGGCGUCAUUAUGACCAUUGAUUCCAAGGAUUUCUUUUUUAUUUUAAGAUUUAAAAUAUUAUAGAUAUGUGUGGGUUUUGUGUUAGAUUCACGUUUUUUAUUAGUUUCUAAUUUAAACCCAGUUGUGAUAAAUAAUUAAAUUGACUAAAAUCUUUUAUAUAUAUAUGUAGUUUGAUCAAAAUAUAUAUAUAUUUAGUUAAUUCAGUUGUUCAUUCAAUCAGUAACAUCAUGUUAUUACCAUUCAUAUUGCAGUGUCUUCUAAGGAGUUUCUUUUUCGUUCAUCUCAAUUGUAUUAGUUAUGAACCGGAUUGGUUUUCAAUAAACCGAACAAUAUAAAACUCGAGAUUGUGAACCACGAGAUUUAACGGUCAAUGUACUAUUCCCACGUUGGUUCAUAAUAUCGUUUCAAGUAGCGCGCUCUAUUUAUUUCCUAAAAGAGAAAGUGUUACCUACUACACACAUAUAGCUGAGAAGAGAGGGGUAAAUCUAUUUGUAAAAAAAAAGAAACCAGAUUGAGUAAUUCUUGCACUCUCUCGUCUUCCUCUUUCGCUUCGAGAUAAUACUGUAUAUCCCUGCGUAGAGAUCAGUCGAGAAAGAUGGGAGGAUUCUCUACGAAGAAGAUGAUGUUUCAGCAGCUUCUUACUUCAGUCCUGUUGCUUCAUCUCUUGAUCUCGUCUUCUUCUGGUGAGUAUCGAAUACUAAUGCUGUUCAAAACCAUCUUUGUUUGUUCAUUAAAGUUACCAUCUUGAUUCGUUAUGUUGCAAAGAAACCUCUUUUGAAAUUGCGAUGUCAUACUAAAAGAUCUUCAUAGUAAAAAAGAUGGACAUCUCGUUGCAAUGGCAAGACUUGUUCUCUCUAUUUCAUAUAGAAUCAAAACAUUGCAAGAAAAUCUUAUACAAAAAGUGUUGUUGAAUCUUCGAGCGUUGUUGUUGUUGUUAUUCAGGUGCACUAGUUAACUCAAGUGAGAACGGAGUAUGUAUUUCUAAAAGGGGACGACCAUACGAGUUAGAAGGAAAGCUUCCCAAGCCUGGUGAUCUAAACCUGUGUAAUGCCUUCCAUGACAAGACUUGCUGGUCUGCUUCAUUAGCUCUCCAAAACCUAGCUACGCAUGGAGAAGCUUCUAAAGAUGAGAAACAACCAAACACGCCUUAUGCUACCUAAGGAUGAUGUGGUUGCGCAUAUUCUGGACUACCUAACGGAUGAAGAGCGCCUAAUGAUCGAAGAUGCAAAUAAUCGAGGGUUGAGGAUCAGAGUGUACGACAGCAAUACUGAGUCUUUGCAUCAGCUGACUUUGAAAAAGUGGCAUUCAAGUGGAAGCUAUGUGUUCAUUAGCAAUUGGAAUGAGCAAUUUGUUAUAAGAAGAAACCUCGAAGCUGGCGAUUUAAUUGGACUCUUUUGGAAUACUUAUGCGUCAAGGCUCCACUUUCGUGUGAUUAGGCGUCAUUAUGACCAUUGAUUUCAAGGAUUUCUUUUUUAUUUUAAGAUUUAAAAUAUUAUAGAUGUGUGUGGGUUUUGUGUUAAAUUCACGUUUUUUAUUAGUUUCUAAUUUAAACCCAGUUGUGAUAAAUAAUUAAAUUGACUAAAAACUUUUUAUAUAUAUAUAUAUAUAUAUAUAUAUAUAGUUUGAUCAAUAAAAAUAUAUAUAUAUAUAUAUAUAGUUAGUUAAUUCAGUUGUUCAUUCAAUCAGUAACAUCAUGUUAUUACCAUUCAUAUUGCAGUGUCUUCUAAGGAGUUUCUUUUUCGUUCAUCUCAAUUGUAUUAGUUAUGAACCGGAUUGGUUUUCAAUAAACCGAACAAUAUAAAACUCGAGAUUGUGAACCACGAGAUUUAACGGUCAAUGUACUAUUCCCACGUUGGUUCAUAAUAUCGUUUCAAGUAGCGCGCUCUAUUUAUUUCCUAAAAGAGAAAGUGUUACCUACUACACACAUAUAGCUGAGAAGAGAGGGGUAAAUCUAUUUGUAAAAAAAAAGAAACCAGAUUGAGUAAUUCUUGCACUCUCUCGUCUUCCUCUUUCGCUUCGAGAUAAUACUGUAUAUCCCUGCGUAGAGAUCAGUCGAGAAAGAUGGGAGGAUUCUCUACGAAGAAGAUGAUGUUUCAGCAGCUUCUUACUUCAGUCCUGUUGCUUCAUCUCUUGAUCUCGUCUUCUUCUGGUGAGUAUCGAAUACUAAUGCUGUUCAAAACCAUCUUUGUUUGUUCAUUAAAGUUACCAUCUUGAUUCGUUAUGUUGCAAAGAAACCUCUUUUGAAAUUGCGAUGUCAUACUAAAAGAUCUUCAUAGUAAAAAAGAUGGACAUCUCGUUGCAAUGGCAAGACUUGUUCUCUCUAUUUCAUAUAGAAUCAAAACAUUGCAAGAAAAUCUUAUACAAAAAGUGUUGUUGAAUCUUCGAGCGUUGUUGUUGUUGUUAUUCAGGUGCACUAGUUAACUCAAGUGAGAACGGAGUAUGUAUUUCUAAAAGGGGACGACCAUACGAGUUAGAAGGAAAGCUUCCCAAGCCUGGUGAUCUAAACCUGUGUAAUGCCUUCCAUGACAAGACUUGCUGGUCUGCUUCAUUAGCUCUCCAAAACCUAGCUACGCAUGGAGAAGCUUCUAAAGAUUGCUUCUACUUCUAUGAUCUUUUGGAAUGUUCAAUCUGUCAUCCAGAUGUUGGAGUUCAAUCAGAACGUCUCCGCAUUUGUGCCUCCUUCUGUGACAGAGUCUUCGAGGCUUGCUCAGAUGCCUACUUUAGUACUAGUGAUGCUAGUAAUCAGGUAAAACAACGGUUGUGUUUUGAGAAUCUCAAAAGUUUGAGAGAGUGAUUUGGUUCUUGUUUAUGUGUUAGGUUAUAGUACCGUGUGGAGCAAGCAAUGGUAUCAUCUGCGUGAAAGUUUUCAAGUGGGGGACUAAUGGCACAUCCUUUUGUGAAGCAGUGGGUUUCACUGUUGAUCAAACAGCUGAUGUUUCCGCUUGUUACGGAAGCAGCAUAUCAAGUUUUGGACCAGCGGUGAAGUCACUCAUAAAGACUGAGAAUGUUGGUUGGUUUCAAGAUCUCAAGAAGCUAGUUAGAGAGAUGACACUGGUCCAACAGUUCUCUUGGGUUGUAACACUUAUUGUACUAGGAAAAAUGCUCUUUAACAGGUUUUGCAUCACUCUCUCUAUCUCUCGCAUAGUCUAGUACGUUUCUGUUCAAACCAGUUUGAUGUUUGAAUCUUGCUUUGAUAUCCACAGGUGGCGUUAUCAGCAGCAGAUGCGAGCUAUGAUCCAGAGGGAUGCGAGAAGAUUGAUAAGAUACAUGAAUGGGAGGAUUUGUAAUUCAAAAUUUUUAUUAGAAUAGCAUUCAAACUUGUAAAUAAGCCUAUAAUCAUAUGAAAUAGAUAUUUCACUGCUAUAUUUUGGGUGAAAGAACUCAUUAGGGAGUUUUGGGGACAUAACAAAUUGUAAACCAAACAGUUUUCUCAUUAGCAUCAUGUUAUUACUAUUGAGAAAAAGACCAAAAUAGCACUAAAUCAAGUUUUUGUUCCCAAACUAGCACUCAAGGCCAAAAGUCACAAAAAUAGCAUUCAAGGGGUGGGGUUUAGGGUUUAGAAUUUAGGGUUUAGGGUUUAGAGUUUAGGUUUUAGGGUUUAGAGUUGAGAAGUGAGGUUUUGGAGAUAAGAUUUCAAAUUUUGAAAAAUAAAAAAAUUUAAAUUUUUCAAAAGAUAAAAUGCUAUUUUGGUCAUUUUAGUUUUUGAGUGCUAUUUUUGUGAUAUAAACUUAGAAAUGUGAUAUUUUGGAGAUUUGCCCCUAUUACUAUUCCAUAAUGCAGUAUCCUCCAGUUUAUUAUUAGUUUCUUUCUUUUAAUCUCGACCUCUCUAUAAAGAGUUCUCAACUGAAUUCGUUUAUGAACCGGAGUGGUUUUCUAUAAACCGAACAAUAUAAAACAUUAAAAAACUCAAGAUUGCGAACCGGAAUUGAACGCUAAACCGAAAGUGUUGGCUACUAUAUAAAGUGAAGAUAGAGAGAGGGAGAAUCUGUUAGUAUCUUUACGCUUCGAGAUAAGUCACCGUUCAUAGAAGAGAAAGAUGGUUGGAGGAUACGUAACGAAGAGGAUGAUGUUUCUGCAGCUUCUUACUCCGAUUCUGUUGCUCCCUCUCUUGAUCUCGUCUUCCUCUGGUGCAUAUCAAAAUCUCUGAGUCUCUUUCACAUGUUUUUUGUAUCAUAUUCAAUAGGAAGUUUUGAUCUUUUUAGUUCAUCUUGAUUCGUUAUUAAUGCAGAGAUCACCUUGAGUCUACCAUAGUUACGAUCUUUUAGUUUCUUUUAGAUCAUCUUGAUUCGUCCUGUUUCAUAAAGUAAGAUGCUCUGUUCUCUCUGUUUCAUGCGUGUUGUUGUUAUUCAGUUAACUCGAGUGAGAACGUUGGAGUGUGUGUUUCCAAAGGUGGACGAUCUCAUCAGCCUUACGAGUUAGAAUGAAAGCUUCCUGAGUCUGCUGAUCUUGAGUUUAAGGAUCUAAACAUGUGUAGUAUGUUCCACGAGAAGACUUGUUGCUCUGCUUCUCAGAUGUUCUCUGCUUCAUCAGCUCUCCAAAACCUAGCUACUCACGGAGAAGCUUCUAAAGAUUGCUUGUACUUGUUUGAGCUUUUGGAAUGUUCAAUAUGUCACCCUGAUGUUGGAGUUCAGCCACGUCCUCUUCGCAUUUGUGCCUCCUUCUGUGAUACUGUCUUUGAAGCUUGCUCUGAUGCUUACUUUAAUACUAGUGAUGCUAGUAAUCAGUUAAAAGAACGGUUGUGUUUUGAGAGGUCUAAGACUCAUUGAGAGUUCACAAGUUUGAGAGUGUGCUUUGGUUCUUGUUUGUGUGUUAGGUUAUAGUACCGUGUGUAGCAAGCGAAGAUACCAUCUGCGAGAAAGCUUCUAUGUUGGAGACUAAUGGCACAGCCUUCUGUGAAGCAGUGGGUUUCACUGUUGUUCAAACAGCUGAUGAUUCUGUAGAAGAGCCUUGUUACGGAAGCAAAUCAAUUUUAGUGACAGUGGUGCCUGUGGUGGAGUCACUCGUAAAGACUGUGCGGCUUCAAGAUCGUAGGUACGAGCUGUUGAUACUGAAUCUACAGAUGUGUUUGAAUAGAGCAGGUUUUGUUCUAGCAUCAUUGAUCAUUUACAGGUUUGCAUCUCUCUCUCUCUCUCUCUCUCUAGUUUUUGUCUAAAUAUAUAUAUACAUUAUUUCCUUUCUAACCAAUUGAUAUAUGAAUCUUGCUUUGGAAUUUUAUAACUCAGGUUGGUUUAUCAGCUGGAGAGGGAUGCGAGAAGAUGAGAAGAAUUGAACAGGAUUAGGCGAAGAUUUCAACUCUUUUUGAGUUUUCUUAUCAUAUAGCAUUCAAACUUUUAAAUAGGGAAUUCUGGAAUCAAUAUCUCAUAGGGAGUUUUCUUUUGAGUUUUCUUAUAAUUCUUUUUUGAGUUUUCUUGUUGAGUUUUCUUAUCAUAUAACAUUCAUAUGGAAUCAAUAUCUCACAGCUAUAACUCAUAGGGAGUUUUGGGGACUCAACACAUUGUAAACCAGACAGUUUUUACUCAAUAUAGUAAGAGCCAAAACCAUGAGAGGCAAUUAAAUAUAGAAAGUUUAAAAAAUGUGGUUUGUUUUUUAACAGAUGCUUCUUCUUUGAUUACUAUAAGUAAAGUAGCCUUUGAGGUUCUCCUCCUACAUCUCAAGAAAUGCACAGAGCCUAACAAAGGGAGCAACCUAUUGUAUUUUCAAGACUUUCCCAUUUUAGGUACCUGACAAAACAUAAAACGAUAGGAAAGCCAUGUGUUAAGUUAUUCCUAGCUAAACCAAACUGUGUAGUAUUAUAAUAAGACAAUAUUACACUCCAAGGCAGUUUCAAGUUUUUAAUAACACUAUAAGACAGUUAUGACUAAGAAGUCCUUCAUGUCCUACAUAAACUGAGAAAAUAAUCUGCUAUCUCUAGACAGAUUAGGAACUUGGUUUAACCAUGGCGGCUGUAGAUAUUAGGGUUGCAUGCAGAUUUGACCGAAUAAGGAGGCGAAGUAAAAUUAUCUUUUUAUCCUUCAUCAAAGAAAAAAUAAAAGAACAUAAAAAAUAUACUGAGUAUGGAUUGAAACCGUGACUUACCUCUCAUUUAGAACAAACUACACCACUAGGUAACAGUAACAUAUGUGAUAUGUUUACGAAACAUAAUAUGGAACUUUGUGGGAGAGAAAAAAGUUUGAGAAAAUAUACAAUGCGAGAUUUAAGGUAGAUUUUGUGUAGAUUUAGAAAAUAUAUUAAUUGAAAUAGGGAAGUUUCCAUAUUUUCGUCAUUUGACUAUAAUAUGUGUCUUACGUUGAGUAGAACACUGCAUAAUGGGUGUGAAAUUUAUUAUUUCCUAGGCAUAACAUAAAGUAAUAGCUAGAACAGGUUAUAACACACAAAUAAGAUAAAGUAAAUCGCAGAGUUAUUUGUAUAAGUUGUAAUCAAGCUUUAAGUACACUAACGACAUCUUGCCAGAUUAAUACCAAAAGAAUUAUAUUUGUGUAUAGUACUUAGUAUCAGAUUUCUAAACUAAAUAGAUGACCGAAUGAGUAUUUUAUCCUCAUUUAGGAUUUAAAAAAAAUAUGAUUCCACUAUUUAAGAAAAAAAAUUAAACAUAUAAAUAGUCAUACUAAUGUUUAUAAUAGUUUCAUAAUUUUUUGAAAUUUUAAAACUUAAAAUACUAUUUUCUAUUACAAAAAAGUAAAAUAUGUCCAAAAGUGGUCUAAAGAUCAAAAGUCUUAUUGAGACAAAUAAAAGUUGAGAGUAUCUCAUUUUGUCAAUUUUCCCAUGUUUAUAUUACUUAACUUUUAAACACACAGCUAAAAUAUAUGUUUUCGGGUUAUAGGAUCAAAUGAUUAAUAGAAGUAAGCUUUGUUUAUAAUCACACUUAUGGUGUCAAAUGGUUGGCUGUGAAGUGUCUUCUCAUAAAAUGGAAGAUUUACAUUUCUAGCUUAUAACAAAACAACCCAACCCAACCAGUAGCAUACGGUAAAUGUUUAUUUCACAUUAAAAAGCCUCAAAACUUUAAUAUUUGGCAGAAUCUAACGUUUCCCGGUUCAUAAGUGUGACGUUUAAAAAUUUUCUUAUCUUUUACCAACCACUGAGAAAGAAAAAUUAGCAUAAAGACACUAUAUUCUUUAAUUUUUGUAACUUUUAAUCUUUUGCACUUUGUAGAUGCGAAUAUGUGGAGGACUUCUCACUUCUCACAGGCACAUACAUGAUAUCGAACAAGUUUUAGUUGUGUCCUAACGUCCUUUGUGGUCCUUAGGCAAGUAGUUCGGAUGAGAGUUAGGUCCAUCGAUUUAGGUCGUAUCAAUUAUUGUUAUAAUUUUUUUAAAAAUGUAAGGACAGUCGAAAGUUAUUCGACCAAAUUGUAUAGAUCCAGCACAUGUUCAGCAAUUAAUAAAUACUAACUAGAGUUUUGAUGGAUUUAUUUUCUAUAUUUUAGUUUUUUGUUAAGUGUAUUUUCUCAAAUGUAAUAAAUGUAUUGUUAUUGUCUAAUUGAAACAUCUUUAUUGAAGUAUAUUGAACAAUAUAAGAUUUUUGUGUUUCAUUUUAUUUAUAAUUUGAUCAUAUGUUUUUUGAUCUUCUAAUGCUUUGUUAUCUUGGUUAUUUUUAAAAAUUAUUUUUAGUAUUUAUGUGUCUCCUUUAAUCAUAUUUAAACUAAAUAUCGUUUUUCGUGUUGGUAUUAACUAAAAUUUUUGCUUUAAAAUUUUUGAAGAUAAUUUAUAAAUUUAAAUAAAUUUGAUUGAAUAUUUUAAGAAUUUAUAGAUUUAGAAGAGAAAAUUAUAUUGUUUUAAUUAAACUGAAAGUUGAAUAGACUUAACUUAUAUCUUUGCUGGAAAUUUUAUUUAUUUAAAAUUAUGUUUUUGAGAAGUAGUAUAAUACAUACAUGCAAAGAGUAAUAAGUUUGUAGGUACAAUCUGGAGCUUUUCCCAUUUUGUUACCAUAUUUGUUUCCCCUUCAAUAAGAGUUUAAGGGGUUUGUAAAGCUUUUUUUUUGAAACAUAAACAGUAUGUAAAUUUUUGUAACACUAAUCAAUGCUUCUAUUUGUUUUAUUUGUUCUAAGCAAUCCUGAAUUCACAUUGUUGCAGUUCGAGCAUGAUUAAAAGUGCAAAUGGUUAUUUCUGAACUAAUCAAUAGAAGACUGUUUUAAAAAUAUAUAAAUUUCAUCUAUUUUUAUAAAUAUGUACAUUUCUUCUAUUUUAUAUGUAAUAUUAUUAAAUAAAAAGAUAAACUUUUAUAUUCUAAUAUCUGUAGUAUGCUAUCCGGUUUAAAAUUUGGAAUUUUUAAGUUUGAUAAUACUUGUACUUCAUAUAUUAAUAAAAAAAUAAAAAAAGCUUUAUCCAUGAAGUUUUCUGAACCCAUACAGUAGAAACUCUAUAAGUUAAUAUUCAAUAAAUUAAUAAACGAAAAAAAUUAAUAAACUCCACCAGUUCUGAAUUGGGUCAGUAUAAAAUAUGACAUAAUCCGAUAAAAUAAUAAAAUAAUAAAUUUUUAAAUUUUUUUAUGUAAAUAUAUAGUCCCAGUAAAAACAUAAAUUAAUAACCAGUGCAUAUAAAUUUAUAUAAAUAUAGUAAUAUAUUGUCUAGUUUGCCUGUAUUUUAUUCAUAUUGAAGUUUAUCUUUAAAUUUUAUAAGUAUUUAAAAAUAUUGAAAUGUUAUUUUGUCAUUUUAUACUUAAAAUGCAUAUACAUUUAUGGUAAUAUUUUCUAUACACCUUAUAGUUGAACAAUAGUAACAUAAAAAGUUUUAUCUAUUAACAAUUAAUCAACCAUUCAUAUAUCUUAAAAUCAAAUACUUUUUAAACAGAAAAUAUAUUAUUCUAAAAAGAAUUUUUUUUGUAAAUUAAUAACUCGAAGAGAAAGAUAUCAAUAUCAAUAUUGUUGUACUGUGAUCCAAGUUAAUGAUCCGCUAUGCUUUUUUUAUUCAUCCCAUCGUCGGCAAUAGGGGUGGGCGUUCGGGUACCCGUUCGGGUUCGGAUCGGGUAUUUCGGAUAUUCGGGUAUUUCGAUAUAAGAGUAUAAAAUCCGUUCGGGUAUUUUGACAUUUCGGAUCGGGUUCGGGUUUUUUUGCUUCGGGUUCGGAUAUUUUCGGAUAUAUCCGAUAUCCGAACUUCAAACAAUUUUUUUUUUGAAAAACAUGUGUUUGACCUGUAUUGAAACCAUUCCUGAAACAUUAUACAAACCUAAGCACAAACAAGUAAAUCAAACCAAACCUCUACUGAACACAAACAAGUAAACCACGUUUCAUUCCUCUACUUGUAGUAAACUUUACAACCAAACGUCAAACAAAAUGGACUAACUUUUACGUAUCAUACAAACAUAAUCAAACUUCUAAUCAUCAUACACGCAAAAUCAAAACAAAAGAAAGAAAUUGGAAAAAGAUCGACAAUUACCUUUGUUCGGUUUCUUGACGUCACCGAGUAAGAAAAAAAAAGAUGAGUAUUUAAGGUUUCCAGUUUGUUAAUUUAUGAGAUUAAAUCUUAACCACUUAAGAAGAAUCUAGGAAACAUAAUUUUCGGGAACACGAAACGAUUUUUUAUGAUGUUUGGGUAUAUUGCACGACGAAAUUUUGGGAAAUGGAAUAAAUCAUAAAUGGUAAGGUUUUGGUUAAGUUCGGUUAUGUUCGGGUAAGUUCGGGUAUCGGGUAAUAACCGAUCGGGUUCGGUUAACCGAAAAGGGAUAGAAUAAAAACCGAUCGGGUAUUUGGCACUAACCGAACCCGAACCGAACCACUUACUUCGGGUCGGAUUCGGGUUCGGGUUCGGGUAUCGGUUAUUAUGCCCACCCCUAGUCGGCAAUACAGUAAAUGACACAAAUAGAGUGUAAUGUAAAUAGGUGUAGAUCACAGUAUAAGACGUAAUAUAGUUUUUUAUGUAUUAAAAAUUUUAAAACCUAACUUUUUAAUUACGAAAACACAACACAUGUGUGGGAGGAAAUACCCUAACUUCACAAGUUAUUAUUCAUUAUAUAUAAAAAAAAUGCAAGAACAGAGAGUUCAAAAAUAGUUUGGAUAAAGUUGUGCUACACUCCCUCGUCAUUCUCGUCCUCGAUGUUGCAGCUAUUGUUGCAGCUCCAGUCACACUUCAAGGCAAUGGGGAACGCGUGGUGUGUUGCUCCUCGUGACAAAAUGGUCCUCCUGCCUAACUCAUCAUCAACUGCUGAGAGGAGGCAUUCUCCUACUUGGAGUUUUCGCUGGGAUAAUCAUAAAAGAGGCCGUGUAGCUGGUGAAAAAGCCUCUCUCAGUUGGUUGUCUGAUGGGAUUAGCCGGAACGAUGUGUCUGACAUCAAAUCUGAUUUUUUAUCAUCUCAAGGUUCCCCUUUGGACAGCUUUCGGACACAGACGAUGCAGCCGGCCUCAGGUAAAAUAAGUUCAGCUUGUUUAGUAUUUUUUUAGCUUGAGGGAACACAUGUACGGUGUGUUAUUCACUUGAGACUUUUAGAUAGUAUUUUUCAGAACCUGUUUAAAUCAUGUUUCUCUUGAUAGGAUUUCUCUACUUGCUUCUUGACUUGCCUAUGCAUCUGUCUACAGAUCAUAAUAAUCUUACAUGACAUUAAUGAAUAUUUUGGCAGAUUUAUCUUUUCCAAGAAAUUCUUCCAUGGAUACAGUUUUUGAGCAGGUAAAGCUUGUUUCACCUAUAGUUUUGUUUUCUCACAUCUUUGAAACUUUUACAUUUGUUGAUACAUAACCUCUUUUUUGACGAUGGAUCUCAAAAUGGGACCCUCUCAAAUACAUAAAUAUUGGCCCGGUUCAGACCCAUGAUAUAAGUGACGUGGCAUAAAGUCAAUCUCUGAUUGGCCUGAAUUUCCAAUCCGACGUGGACGUGUUCAGGGGGCUUGAUAUCCUGAUUUUAGUUUAGUAUAGAUUUGAAAACUGAAAAUAUCUACUCUAUUAAUUUAGAGUCAUACUUUUUAUCUACUUAAUUGUCAUUUAAGUUUGGACAUAUUCAUAUUUCAUUAAAAAAAUAUAACAUUCAUUGCUAUUACAUUAACAAUACAAAAUAAUUUCCCCCUCUAAUAAAAAAAAUCGUUGACUACUACUCAUAAUGAAAUCUACACCUUCAUAUGUUCAAGCAUGAGUAAAUUAUAUUUCAUUAUUCGACAGUCCAUUAAUACAAAUGUAUCGAAUGAUUAUUUCCAAUGUAUUAUAUUAUACAAAUAUUUACACAAUAUGUAUACACACUUUUCAUUUGUUUCUUCUUUAUCCUCAUUACCUCCAUGUUUAAAUCUCUGGAAGUUGUGAAAAUCCUCAUUAGAACGAAUAAUAUUACUUCAUAUAUAUACAAACGAUUUGCGUAUUGAAAUAGGAAAUAUUACUUCGUAUACCAAUUUUUUCAUAUGAAAUAGAAUGUGACAAACGUUUCCAUAAGAAAGUUAAAUCCAUUCCAGUACUUUAAAUCAUUAAGUUAAUUUAAAUCUAUCCAUUCUAUAAAUUAAACAUUUCCAUAACAUAAUUAAUGUUUUUAAAAUUUAGAUUCUAAAAUCUUAACUAGAACAAACUUCCUAACGUCAAGCUAACAAAAAAAAAAACAUAAACGAUUUGUAUGUCAUCUUCCUAUAGUUUAAAAUUUCUAACUAUAUUAUCUAAAACAACUAAAUCAUUUCCUAACAUUAUCCUAACAAAAAAAAAAUAAACGAUUCUUUGGAAUCACGUAGUUUUUUUCAAAAAACGCAAACCUAAAGAAACGAUAAUAACAAUAAUCAAAUAAUUUAUUCCACAAAAUCUUAACAAAAAUCUAAAGGUAUUAAAUAUUUUACACUAUCUUUAGUCAUCUUAUAUUUUCAAUACUCAAAUAUUAAAAAAAACCUAGAUAUUUUCAUUUCAUUUUAUACUACCUAUGACUUUUAUUUAUUUUCUAAAAAAAAUCCAUUGAAGAUAAUUUGUGUGUACAAUAAAUGUUGAGCACACCUAAUAAUAUAUCAAUUCAUACACAAUUUUGUUUUUGUUAAAAAACAUUCAUACAAUUAUUGUUAUAUAAAAGUAAAACUAUGAAAAUAAUAACUCUAUACUUUAGGCUUGUUCUUUUUCUUGACGCGUGCGGCUAACAAACAUGAAGGAAAUUUUGUAAUUAAAGCCAUCAUUUUUUAAGUUUGUGACGCUGCGAUUAUUUUACGGAGUGUUGCCGGUGAUGUUAGUGACGCUGAAAAAACAGCGUUCAUCGGAAUUGCCUUUGUGGUUAAACGCGGAUGUCGCGGCCAUUUAUUCUCCACAUCCUUAAGCCUCAAAAAACGUAUAAUUAGGCAUUAUUGUGAACGCUUGAUGCUGAGGCUACGGUUCUUUACCGAACAGGGCUUUUGUAAAAACCAAAAUUUUAGUUGAGUCAUGUACCUGGUCGUAUCGUAUAUCAUAUUAACCAAUAUUAAUUAACUUACACAUUAUAGAUUGGUUUAUUAACCAAAUAAUAUAACUCAUCUACAAUUUUCUUAUUAUACAAACUACUAUACAACCAAUCGUUUAAAUGAUUAAGAAAAGUAAAACAAUUUAUAUACAAGAGCAAAACACACUUUUUGCAUAACAUAAAUCAAUAUUUAUGUAUGCAGUACAAUUAUGCACAAUUUUCAUCAUACAUAUUACUAUGCAUAAUCAUCAAACCAUUUUCUAUUUUAUUUUAUUUAAAGAUAAAAACAACUCUCGAUAAAAUAUCAUAUAUAUAUAUAUAUAUACAUGAUAUUACAAUGGUCUAAUUGUUUUGUUAAACAUUAAUAUUAAUAUUAGCUAUAAAUAAAUGCAAAACUAUCAUUUACAUUAAUAUUAAGUAUAUAUCUAAAUUUUGGUUAAGAAUUUUUCCUAUAAUUUUUGAAUACAAUGAAUCCUAGAAAUAUAUUCAAAUAUAUAUAUAUAUAUAUAUAUAUAUAGGUUUUAAGAAGUUACAAAUUAUAUAGAUAGUGGAAAGUUAACGCUUUUGAAAAUUUUAGCAUAACAAAAUUUAGAUAUUUUACGUAUAUAAAAAAAAAUAUAAAGCAUAUAAUUUUUCUCCAAUUGAAAAUGAUCAAAAAGUUUCAAAAAAUAUCAUUACUAUACAGACUUAAUUAAAAUAAUAAGAUAAGCCACUUAAAAAAUUGGAUCUUAACAACUACAGAAAAUAUAAGUUUAAGAAAUAAUAUUUCUAAUCAAUAAAGUGCAUUUAUAUGUUAUUAAUCUAGUUCUACUCAGUAUCAUAUAGUCUUACGCUCAUUACAUAAGUAAUAAAAUCAGAUAUAUAUCUGAUCGCUACAUUGGUAACACAAGUCCAAACAUCUAAUCUAACAGUUUAAUAUUCACAAUAGUUUUAUUUUUCUGACUUUAUAAAUUAAACAAAAUAAAACAUAACCCGCGUUUUAACGCGGAUCAUAAUCUAGUAUAAGUUUUAUUUAUCUUCUUAAUACAUAAAAAAAUCACCCUCGGUCAUAUAUCACAAUGCGUUCAAGAUUAUACUUCCUCUAUUUUAAAAUACAAAUAAUUUUACCUAAAAACACUAAUAGUAAGAAAGUUGUUAUUUUUUAAAAAAAUAUCAUUUAAUCAAUAAAUUCAACCAAUUAAAAAUUUAAUAUUAUUUAAAUAGUCACACAUUAUCUAAUAAAUGAAAAUGUGUAUUAAAAUAUGUAAACUAUUUAUAUUGUGAAACAAGUUUUCUUUGUUAAAACUACCUACAAUAGAAAACAGAGAGUGUAAAUGGUUUACAAUAUUUGUUACUUUUGAACUUUGGUUGAAGAACACAAAUAACAGUAAUCAUGCCAAAUAUUGUAAGUUCUAUUUAAGGUAUGACUUAGACUCUGAAUGGUGACGGCGGAUUUGAUAAUAAAAACGGUGCAGAAUUAAAGCGUGGAAUGGUGCAACUGUGGUUUUAAGUAAAAAGCAAUGCGGAAUAUUGUUUGAUUGAUGAUAAUACAUAUUUGCAGUAUUUAAUAAUUAUUUAACAAAAUAAAAUAAUAAUGGUAUAUAUUAUAGAAUAUAUUAAAAUAAUAUAGUAAUAUAUUCAUAUAAUAAAUAUAUUUUAAAAUAAAAAUAUCUUUUAGUGAAAUGCAUUUGAUAAGUGCAAUUCUGAGCAUCUGUCUACAGAUCAUAAUAAUCUUACAUGACAUUAAUGAAUAUUUUGGCAGAUUUAUCUUUUCCAAGAAAUUCUUCCAUGGAUACAGUUUUUGAGCAGGUAAAGCUUGUUUCACCUAUAGUUUUGUUUUCUCACAUCUUUGAAACUUUUACAUUUGUUGAUACAUAACCUCUUUUUUGACGAUGGAUCUCAAAAUGGGACCCUCUCAAAUACAUAAAUAUUGGCCCGGUUCAGACCCAUGAUAUAAGUGACGUGGCAUAAAGUCAAUCUCUGAUUGGCCUGAAUUUCCAAUCCGACGUGGACGUGUUCAGGGGGCUUGAUAUCCUGAUUUUAGUUUAGUAUAGAUUUGAAAACUGAAAAUAUCUACUCUAUUAAUUUAGAGUCAUACUUUUUAUCUACUUAAUUGUCAUUUAAGUUUGGACAUAUUCAUAUUUCAUUAAAAAAAUAUAACAUUCAUUGCUAUUACAUUAACAAUACAAAAUAAUUUCCCCCUCUAAUAAAAAAAAUCGUUGACUACUACUCAUAAUGAAAUCUACACCUUCAUAUGUUCAAGCAUGAGUAAAUUAUAUUUCAUUAUUCGACAGUCCAUUAAUACAAAUGUAUCGAAUGAUUAUUUCCAAUGUAUUAUAUUAUACAAAUAUUUACACAAUAUGUAUACACACUUUUCAUUUGUUUCUUCUUUAUCCUCAUUACCUCCAUGUUUAAAUCUCUGGAAGUUGUGAAAAUCCUCAUUAGAACGAAUAAUAUUACUUCAUAUAUAUACAAACGAUUUGCGUAUUGAAAUAGGAAAUAUUACUUCGUAUACCAAUUUUUUCAUAUGAAAUAGAAUGUGACAAACGUUUCCAUAAGAAAGUUAAAUCCAUUCCAGUACUUUAAAUCAUUAAGUUAAUUUAAAUCUAUCCAUUCUAUAAAUUAAACAUUUCCAUAACAUAAUUAAUGUUUUUAAAAUUUAGAUUCUAAAAUCUUAACUAGAACAAACUUCCUAACGUCAAGCUAACAAAAAAAAAAACAUAAACGAUUUGUAUGUCAUCUUCCUAUAGUUUAAAAUUUCUAACUAUAUUAUCUAAAACAACUAAAUCAUUUCCUAACAUUAUCCUAACAAAAAAAAAAUAAACGAUUCUUUGGAAUCACGUAGUUUUUUUCAAAAAACGCAAACCUAAAGAAACGAUAAUAACAAUAAUCAAAUAAUUUAUUCCACAAAAUCUUAACAAAAAUCUAAAGGUAUUAAAUAUUUUACACUAUCUUUAGACAUCUUAUCUUUUCAAUACUCAAAUAUUAAAAAAAACCUAGAUAUUUUCAUUUCAUUUUAUACUACCUAUGACUUUUAUUUAUUUUCUAAAAAAAAUCCAUUGAAGAUAAUUUGUGUGUACAAUAAAUGUUGAGCACACCUAAUAAUAUAUCAAUUCAUACACAAUUUUGUUUUUGUUAAAAAACAUUCAUACAAUUAUUGUUAUAUAAAAGUAAAACUAUGAAAAUAAUAACUCUAUACUUUAGGCUUGUUCUUUUUCUUGACGCGUGCGGCUAACAAACAUGAAGGAAAUUUUGUAAUUAAAGCCAUCAUUUUUUAAGUUUGUGACGCUGCGAUUAUUUUACGGAGUGUUGCCGGUGAUGUUAGUGACGCUGAAAAAACAGCGUUCAUCGGAAUUGCCUUUGUGGUUAAACGCGGAUGUCGCGGCCAUUUAUUCUCCACAUCCUUAAGCCUCAAAAAACGUAUAAUUAGGCAUUAUUGUGAACGCUUGAUGCUGAGGCUACGGUUCUUUACCGAACAGGGCUUUUGUAAAAACCAAAAUUUUAGUUGAGUCAUGUACCUGGUCGUAUCGUAUAUCAUAUUAACCAAUAUUAAUUAACUUACACAUUAUAGAUUGGUUUAUUAACCAAAUAAUAUAACUCAUCUACAAUUUUCUUAUUAUACAAACUACUAUACAACCAAUCGUUUAAAUGAUUAAGAAAAGUAAAACAAUUUAUAUACAAGAGCAAAACACACUUUUUGCAUAACAUAAAUCAAUAUUUAUGUAUGCAGUACAAUUAUGCACAAUUUUCAUCAUACAUAUUACUAUGCAUAAUCAUCAAACCAUUUUCUAUUUUAUUUUAUUUAAAGAUAAAAACAACUCUCGAUAAAAUAUCAUAUAUAUAUAUAUAUAUACAUGAUAUUACAAUGGUCUAAUUGUUUUGUUAAACAUUAAUAUUAAUAUUAGCUAUAAAUAAAUGCAAAACUAUCAUUUACAUUAAUAUUAAGUAUAUAUCUAAAUUUUGGUUAAGAAUUUUUCCUAUAAUUUUUGAAUACAAUGAAUCCUAGAAAUAUAUUCAAAUAUAUAUAUAUAUAUAUAUAUAUAGGUUUUAAGAAGUUACAAAUUAUAUAGAUAGUGGAAAGUUAACGCUUUUGAAAAUUUUAGCAUAACAAAAUUUAGAUAUUUUACGUAUAUAAAAAAAAAUAUAAAGCAUAUAAUUUUUCUCCAAUUGAAAAUGAUCAAAAAGUUUCAAAAAAUAUCAUUACUAUACAGACUUAAUUAAAAUAAUAAGAUAAGCCACUUAAAAAAUUGGAUCUUAACAACUACAGAAAAUAUAAGUUUAAGAAAUAAUAUUUCUAAUCAAUAAAGUGCAUUUAUAUGUUAUUAAUCUAGUUCUACUCAGUAUCAUAUAGUCUUACGCUCAUUACAUAAGUAAUAAAAUCAGAUAUAUAUCUGAUCGCUACAUUGGUAACACAAGUCCAAACAUCUAAUCUAACAGUUUAAUAUUCACAAUAGUUUUAUUUUUCUGACUUUAUAAAUUAAACAAAAUAAAACAUAACCCGCGUUUUAACGCGGAUCAUAAUCUAGUAUAAGUUUUAUUUAUCUUCUUAAUACAUAAAAAAAUCACCCUCGGUCAUAUAUCACAAUGCGUUCAAGAUUAUACUUCCUCUAUUUUAAAAUACAAAUAAUUUUACCUAAAAACACUAAUAGUAAGAAAGUUGUUAUUUUUUAAAAAAAUAUCAUUUAAUCAAUAAAUUCAACCAAUUAAAAAUUUAAUAUUAUUUAAAUAGUCACACAUUAUCUAAUAAAUGAAAAUGUGUAUUAAAAUAUGUAAACUAUUUAUAUUGUGAAACAAGUUUUCUUUGUUAAAACUACCUACAAUAGAAAACAGAGAGUGUAAAUGGUUUACAAUAUUUGUUACUUUUGAACUUUGGUUGAAGAACACAAAUAACAGUAAUCAUGCCAAAUAUUGUAAGUUCUAUUUAAGGUAUGACUUAGACUCUGAAUGGUGACGGCGGAUUUGAUAAUAAAAACGGUGCAGAAUUAAAGCGUGGAAUGGUGCAACUGUGGUUUUAAGUAAAAAGCAAUGCGGAAUAUUGUUUGAUUGAUGAUAAUACAUAUUUGCAGUAUUUAAUAAUUAUUUAACAAAAUAAAAUAAUAAUGGUAUAUAUUAUAGAAUAUAUUAAAAUAAUAUAGUAAUAUAUUCAUAUAAUAAAUAUAUUUUAAAAUAAAAAUAUCUUUUAGUGAAAUGCAUUUGAUAAGUGCAAUUCUGAUAAAAUAAGCGAUACAAAAUAAUGUUUGAUUGCUGAAAAAUAUUUUACGGGUUUGCUACAUAAUAUCAAAAUUAAUAUAGAAUAUAAAAUUUGGUUAUGAUUCUUGGGUUCUAGAGAUAUAAGAUUUGUUUGGGUAAUUGAUAGGAUCCAAACAGAACCAAGAAAAGAGGUUUGGUUUGGUUCAAAUUUUCGGUUCUGGAUAAAUGUGCACAUGCUUAUCUAUUCUUAUAUUUAAUAAAUUUGGUAUGAUUAUUAUUUUUAUUUUUUUUUCAUUUUAAUUAACUAUUUUGAAUAACUAUAUAACGGAAAUAUUAUCAUGUAUGAUUUUAACAAAAGUUUAAGUAUCUAAAUUUAACAAUAGUUAUUAAUAGUUGAUUAUAAGAAAACACAUAUAUAUCACACUCAUAUACACUUAUUUAUGUUUUCCUUAACAUAAUUAACAUUUUUAAAUAAAUAAAUAAAUUUUAUUCUGAUAAUUCAAUUGUACAAUUUUCUGUUUAAUUGAAAUAUUUAGAUAUGAAAAUUCACAACCAAAUAGUUUAUAUAGUUAUAAAGGAAAAAUGUAAAAAAGAAAGUAACCAUGAAAAACACACGUUAACUACUGUAGGUAGGUGCGGUAUCGUAAAAAUGUGAACAAACAAAAAGUUUUUUUUUUUGGUUUGUUAAGUGCGUUAUUUUAAGAAUUUCGUCCCCUUUUUUUACUGUUUUUGUGAUUGGUGACUUUUUCAAUUUUCAUUCCAUGUAAACAAAUAUGCACCGCUUUUCAUUCACCAGUCGCAACCUUAAUAGCAUGUAUAUUGAGAAUCUUUUAGCCAAUUUUUUUUCUCUCAGUUUCACUUAUAUUUGCCAAGCAGAUACGCCAAGUACUGUUUAAUUAUUAUAAGUAUAAAGUUCACUUUAUACUCUCACUGUCUUUGGAGUGAAAAAUCAAUUACCCGAAUAUUUAUUUUUUCUAGCCUUUAUUACUCUACUAUUUCCUUUUAAGUACUCCACUUUCAUUAAGCUUACUCUGCAAUCCACCAGUCACACCCUAAAUACUAGGUAGCAUAUGAUUAUGUAUAUAAUCUGUUAUUUUUUUAUUAAAAAGAUUCACACACCUUUUUAUGCAUUUCCUAAAGGAACCAAAUGAACCUUAUCUUUUUCUCCUUCCGAAAGAAAAGAGGAAGACUUAUUCCCACUGAAGUUCAAGGGUUAUAAAUUAUUUUUAUUUUAAAAAGAGAUUGGUGUUCGUCACACUGGACGCCAACCAUCAGACCUGAUUGUGGUUCGAGUCCACAAACCACUGAGAGCUCUGGCGUCGGUUCUCGUUACACUCGCACCUGAUACACGGGAACAGGCUUCCCUUCCCGGUAGUACUUCUGUUCUUCUUCUGUCUGAGGCAAAGGCGGGGAUUCUUGAACGUAAAUCAGUGCACGAGCCUAUGCAAACUUAGUUGUUCAUGAGCAAGCCAGGCGUUCCUCUCCUAUUAGUCAAGUAAUUGGCAUUCCUCGGGGUUGACGUCGUCGUUAAGGUUCAAGAGUGGCUCUUAUAAUGACAGGAAUGAAAGGAGUGAGCUCAUUCAUUCACUCGCUAGGAAGAGGGCGUCUCCCCAGAGUCAGGAGUUCUUGCCCACUGGAGUUAUCCAAUUCUUGCGUUUCUUUUAUCUAUCUCCCCAUUCGAACGGUCAAUCAUAUCAAACAAAAUAGUCUAUACUUUCGGCAUGAAGCUAUAGGAACUUUGUAUACUACUAUCCCUUCCCCAACCUUCUGAGGAACGAAUUAACUAGUAUACAUAUAGGAUACACCAGUGCUAAACCUUAUCUCGCCAUUAUUAUAAUGGCGGGAACCAUAUUCCUUUUUACCUUUCUAGUUGAAACCCAAACAAACCACCGGUGAUUGAUGCCGUCCACCGAAAGACCGAAUUUCGCCAUAAAGAUUAUAUGUUUUCUUUUUUACUUUGGGUCAAGUUGAAAUUUCAAAAACUAGAAUCUAUCGCACGUAGUAGCGGACCCGACCUCUUUUUUUGGGGUGUCAAAAGGUUGGGUCAGACCAGCAUAAUUUUUUUGUUAUAAAAAUAAGUAAAAUGUUUACAUCUGCUGGGUUUUUACUCUGGAAAGGGGUUGCAAGAGAUGGAACUUUCGCCAAUUAAGCUAUAUUUUCUUCCUGUACAAUGAAAAAACUCCUUAACAUUUAAAUUUGACAUGCGGCAGCUGACAUCCCUUCCUAACACAUGGGUCCGCCUCUGAUCACACGUGCUGUCAGAGUUUGCACGUGAUAAUACUAUUUUAAUUUUUUUUCAAAAAGAAUCUCUUGACCGAGAAAAGUGUGAGGCUGAAAUCAAAUUUUGUCCGUUGUCACAAAAUACAUUUUUUCAACUUAGCCGUCAGGCCCGUCACCUUGACCAUCCAGAUUCAUUGGACUUCACUCACAAGUUCAAUACUUUUGUCUUAGCCCCUCGAAUAAUUAGAAACUGCACUAAACGCAGGCUGCCACUAUUCUUUCCAUAUAUUUGCCAAUCCCAAUCAUUUAUUUACUAUGACAAUGGUACGCAUACAUUUUUAGGAUGCAAACUACUCCGCAUACAUUUUUAGCCUUUUAGGAUGCAAACUACUCCAUGAUCAAAUGGUUUAUUCAAUAAAAUAAGGAUGCUUUUGACUACCCGCACGUGCUUUAAAAUAAGUUCCACUACAUUCUCAAUAGUCAGCAUUACCUCCACGUAUAAAUAAACUCUCACUACUAUCAAGUAUCAACACAUGUACAUGCAUAAAAUAUAACUUAAAAGCUUAACUUAUGGAACAUAAAGUGUCUAACACGAAUGAGGUGAAAUACAGAGGUGUAACUUGUAAGGAAGCGUCCGUGGGGAAAAUAUGCGGCGGAGAUACGGGACUCGCCAGACAUGAUGCGAUCUGGCUUGGAACGUUUGACACUGCGGAAGACGCGGCUCGGGCCUACGAUAGAGCUGCUUUUUCUAUGAGAGGCCACAAGGCCAUUCUAAAUUUCCCUCACGAAUACCCAAUGAUGACAGACGAUCCAAGUGGCGCCAGCGAGAAUGUGGUGGCUUCUUCGUCGUCCCAGUUUAGUGGAACAGACGGUGGUAACAUGAAAGAAGUCAUUGAGUUUGAUUAUUUAGACGAUAGUUUAUUGGAAGAGCUUCUAGAAUGUGGAGAGAAUUAUAACCAGGAGGAAUGGAGGAUCAGAAUGACACAAACCAUUUAUUAUAGUUUUUCUAAUGUCGGAGGAACGAGUACUAAUCAUGAUUUUGUCCAUAAUUAAGGAAGGUUUUCUGUUAUGUCACUUUUCGCGGAAAUUUUAAAUGACUAUUUUCUCAAAUGUUACUUUGUAUAAUAGGGAGAAUUUGCCAAAUGGCCAAGUUUGAAAAGAAAAUUAAGUGCAAACCAUUGAUUUUGACAUUAUUAAUUUCAUAACAAUUAUGUCAAGUUUUAUCCAGUACUAUCCUUUUUUGUUCAAGUUGCCGGUAUUCGGAUUAAAAAAAUUGAUGGCAUCAAGAAUUUGACAUUCCAUCAUUGAUUAUCACAUGUAAUACAACCAACACCACACGUUUGUUUAGCACAUAAAUAUGCAUCCAAUUUUUCUAUAUUAUAGCACUGAAAUAUAAUAGGAUUCCAAAUCCACUCACAUUUAGUAAAUAUUAAACUUUACUCCAAACCUCAACUCCUAAAUACUAAACCCUAAACUCUUAACAUCACCCUUCCAUCUAAAUACUAAACCCUAAACCCUUAUUACUGAACCCUAAACCCAAAUAUAAACUUUAAACCCAAUUAUUAAAAUCUUUAAUUAGUAUAUAAUAUUACGUAAUAUUAAACUAAAUCCAAUCCAACACACAACUCCUCAAUGCUAAACUCAGACCUAACUUAUGAAUACUAAACCCAAAAAUGCUAUCACUAAACCCAAACCUAAACCCCCACCUUCCAAAUACUAAACCCUAAAUCCUAAUCACUAAACCUUAAAUCCAAGUAUAGACUAUAAACCCAAAUAGAAUGAAACAAUAUACAUAGUAUAGUACAAAAUGGUGAGAAAAAUAGAACACUCUUUAUUAAUCGUCAAAUGGAACAUACAUAAUGCGGUCACUAACCCCAAACCUUAACCUCCACCUUCCAAAUCCUAAACC
This 45181-nucleotide long non-coding RNA is filed under the name Brassica napus (rape). RNAcentral describes it as "long non-coding RNA (BNAP_LNC001549)". The record is from RNAcentral. Lineage: Eukaryota; Viridiplantae; Streptophyta; Magnoliopsida; Brassicales; Brassicaceae.